Molecule: long non-coding RNA, 66536 nt
Filed under: Vitis vinifera (wine grape)
Lineage: Eukaryota; Viridiplantae; Streptophyta; Magnoliopsida; Vitales; Vitaceae
Description: long non-coding RNA (VVIN_LNC004534)
Source: RNAcentral
CUCUUCCAAAUUAACAAGCCAUGCACAAAUCAAAUUCCCAUACAUCAAUAUUAUUUUACAUGUCUUUUUAACAGACUGAAUUCAUUAAGACAGAAGAGUACAUAACUCAGAGGUGAAUCCUACACAGCCACUUCUACAGAACCCCAAAGAUGUAAAAGGUCAGGAACAGACACCCAAGCACAAAUGCAGAGGUUGAAAGCUCUGAGGAACUGGGUAGCACCAAAUAAAUGCCAGAAGUAAAUGCUAUCACCAUUCCUAGGAUGGAAACGUAUGUGAGUAUGGCUGAAAAUUUUAUGAAACGUAGAAGCAGAUGAUAGUUUCGUUCCAGUGAAGCAAAAAAGUGGAGAAACACUGCUGCAGUUGAGCAAUAGAAAGCUAUACCAUCUGACAACAAGAAGGCCUUGAAGGCUAUCUUUGUUGAGAGAACUGCUUUACCUUUGUCGGGGCCUUCAUCAUUGUACCCACCAGGUAGAGUAAAGCCUGCUGCAAAAGUGACAGUUGCUAUGAGCGUCGCGACCAAUAAAUGGGUGUUGGAAAUGUCCUUGAGACGAUGAGAUCGAAGUUGCUUUUCUUUCAUGAUUUCUCUGUUCCUAUCAAGAAGUAUACUCAUAUUGCUAGCAGUACGAGACGCGCCAUCACUGCUCUGAGUACUGGUCUCGCUAGCACUACGAUAUAUGCCAUCACUGCUCUUUUGAUGUCCAUUGUUAUCAGUCCACAUAUUUGCAUUUUCCUGGUAUCCUUCAUUGUCACCAUUUUGCAUAUAUGCAUUUUCUCUAAUGACCAACCGGUGUAAACUUUGUCGACCACCAGCAUGCUCCAACUUCCUCAUGAUCCAAUACUGGCAGUCAUUUGAAAGGAAUUAGAAUGAACUUUUAAAGCAAAGCUAUGGGAAAAUUUUUGAAUCAAGCAUUGAAUCCAGUGGCUAGCUCUUAAAGAGUACAUCAAACACAUUGAAUAAUAUUAGCCAUCCAUUUCAGAUACUUUUUUUUUUUUCUCUUUUUUAAGUAAUCGCUUAACAGAUUGAAUGGCUAUAAUCAUUCAACAUGAUCUUUCUUUAUCAAAUAUCUUCAGAGAGAUAUGAGAAGCCUCACCAUGUCUAAUUAAAAUUUGUCUCAAUCUUUACAGUAACGUACCUUGAUUAUUUCUCCAAUAUCCAUAUUUGACUGAACAAUGUCAAUAGUCUUCAAAUACUCAUUGUUCAUUGCCCUUUUGUCCACUCUAUCGUCUGCAGCCAACAUAUUCACAACCCCGUAAUGUCCAUAAAUGGCAGCUAGAUGAAGUGGUGUGUUACCUUCCUUAUCUGGCUCAUUUAUGAUACUUUCCAAGUUUGGCUUCUUCAGGAUAUAUUUAACAACGCUAGCCUUUCCAUAUUGAGCUGCAAUAUGAAGAAUUGUGCGGCCUUUGUUGUCAAUCAAAUCAUAAACAUCUGGAAGACAUGUGAUAAUCUUUUCCAUUACAUUAGUGUGGCCCUCUUUGGCUGCAAUGUGGAGAGCACAACUGUGUUCUCCAUCCAAUAUGCCAGCAACAGUUUUGUCUUUCGUCAGUAACUUCUCAGUUGCUUCGAGGUGACCCAAGUGGGCAGCAUAAUGAAGAGGGGUCCACCCAAAUUCAUCUGGCUUUUUUAUCACAUCCUUCUUCUCUUCAAAUAGUACUUCCAUAAUAUCUAGACAUUGGGAGAAGAAGGUUAGAAAUCUUAAAAAGAAGUGGAAGAAUCUACUUAAAUAGCAUUUCAUACUUCACCAAAAUUCUGUCGAGAAAUGGAAGGCGACCAAAACACCAUUUCCCCCAUAUUUUAAGCAUAAAAAUGUCCUCAAUAAUGAUCCCCUUCAUUUCCAAAAAAAAAAGGGAAAAUCCUCAUACAUCUUGAUAAAUAAACACAUGGCUUAAUCAGUUGUAUGGUUUGAAAGUCUUUUCUUUUUACUUAUAUAGGAAUGGGUGUUCAAAUUGGGUGAGAAUGGAGAGAACUCUCCGCUCAUAAGCUUUUUGCAGUAAAAAGGAAAAGGGAAAAAAUCCAACUUCUUAGGCUAUGUUUGGUUCCCGGAAAAUGCAAGAGAAAGAAAAUUGGAAGGAAAAAUGGAAGGAAAGAAAAAACUAAGAAAAGUAAUAUAAUUUUUUUUUUCACUUGUUUGGUUAUCCAUGAAAAAUUUAAGGGAAGAAAAAAAAAAAGAAUUCAUUUUUUUUUUGUUUGGUUAAUCACGAAAAAAAAAGUUAAGGAAAAAUGGAAGGAAAACAAAAUCAACAAUUUGUCUUAUAUGGUUAUCAAUUUGUUGAAUAAUAAAAUAAAUUUUAUGCUCUUAUUUUCUAAAAUUAUGUUACUAUACUAAUGCUUCGAUAAUCUAUAUGAUAUAUCUAGAUUGAAGUAGCAUGACCUAGUACAAAAUUUACAUUUAUUAUUGUUAAAUUAUAGCCAUGGAGAAUUGAAGUAAUGUUAAAACAACAUCAACAAAGAAACAGAAAAUGCAAACCACAUGAAAAAUAAAAUAAAAAAACAGAGAAAAUCUCUACUAGCAUAUAAGAGUUUGACAUAACGACUUGAAGUGACUUAAUGAUUUAAUUUAUUUAUUUUUAUUUAAUCUAAAUUUUUUUCAGUUGAUUGUUUUAAAAAAUAAUUAUAUAAAUAUAAAAAAUAAUUAAAAAUAAAAUAUUAAAUAUAAAAUUUAUUUUUAAAACAUCAAAUAUAGAUUAAAAUAAUUCCAUACCCAUUUUUGUUUUCCAAAAACAUUAAAAAAUUGUUUUUAAAAAUUGUUUUAAAAAGGGUUGGCAAACACACCCUUAUUGAAAAAAAUAUACAGUAAAAAUAAAAAAAUUAUAUAUAUAUAUAUAUAUAUAUAUAUAAAAAGAAAAAAAAGAGAGAGAAGGGCCAAUAGAGUGGGUUUACAGGGGGGGCAUGUGCUCUUCCAUUCAAACUUGCUUUCAACUAUUUUACAGUUCGACUGUCUUAAAAUCGAAUGGAAAAUGAAAGCGUUUCAUUCAAAACGCUCGUUGAUCUCCGAGAUUUCGCCUCGGCUUUCGUUUUAUAAUGCCGCUCAUCAGAGAAGUUUCGGAAGUUUUGCUUAAAACCCUACGAAAUUUCCUGAGCCCUUAUACUGAAGAACCAAGUAUCUCUUCUUUGAAAUAUUUGUAUUGAUGCUUUGUUUGUCUCGUGAGAAAAAGUUAGGGUAAAGAAUGGGAGUGAGGAGAUUUAGAGAAGGAGAGGGGAAAAAAAUGUAAAAAAAAGAGGAUUUUUCCUCUCAUUUUCAGGUAGCCAAAUGAUGGUGAUGAACUUAAAUGGAUUGGGGGUUUGGUAAAUUAGGCCUACACUAUAGUUUUUUGUUGAGAAAAGUAGGGGAAAAAUAAUGGGAGAUGAGAAAAUUUGGAAAAGAAAAUAACCAUCUAUUUUGAAGAAUUUAUUUCAUCCAUGGGAACUUGAUUUGAAGAACGCUAGAGUUGUUGAAAUCUUUGUCAACCACCGCAAAGCCUGGCGUAGGGAGGAGAAGCGUGUGGUGGACUAGAUCCACGCCGCCGCAGAGGAGAUCGCCUGCCUGAGGGCCAAGGUGGGGGAGCUAGAGCAGUUCGAGGUGGAGCUGAAGGCCAUGGUGGAGGAGCUAACCAGGGAGGUGGGGGAGAGGGAGGAGAUGCUCGGUGAGGACGAUACACAAGCCCGAUAAAAUUUCCUCCAACUUUUCCCUUCUCUUUUUCUCUUUAUUUUCCUCAUUAUUUUUCAAGGAAACUAGUUGGGAAAAUAUCAUGAUAUUUUCUUUAAUAUUUUCCUUUAUAUUUUUUUUCCAUCACAUUUUCCAUGUCAUCCAAACUAAAGAAAAUAAUUUUUCACAUGAUUUUUUUCCUUUCCUUAGCAUUUUUCGGGAGCCAAAUAUAGCUUUAGUAAACAAGAAUGAAAAGGGCAUAGGAUCUUCUUACUUGAGCUUAAUUAACUUUAAAAAGGGGACAAAAGGAAUUGAAGUCUUAUUAAAGCAGAGGAAUUUACCAAUUUUAUCAUUUUUUCCUUUGAAGUAUCCUCGUACCCGAAAGAAAAAGUUCGUAACCACACGGCCAUGUUUUCCCCGAAAGAAAAAGUUUGUAACCACACGGCCAUGUUUUCCCCGAAAGAAAAAGUUUGUAACCACACGGCCAUGUUUUCCCCGAAAGAAAAAGUUUGUAUCCACACGGAGAUGUUUUCCUUUGAAGUAUCCUCCUACCCGAAAGAAAAAGUUUGUAACCACACGGCGAAGAUUUUCUAGAGAUAAUUCGGGAACUUCUUGGCCUGCAGCAUGAUAUAACAAACUAAAAUCAGUGGUAUCCCCAUAAAAAUAACAAAGAAGGCCAAAAAAAAAAAGGUUUGCCUUUUAGUUUGUUCAUCUUGCAUAAGGGAUUGAAAAAAGGAAAAGGAAAAAAAGAAAUAUUUGUUGAAAUAAUUUUCAAAACUUCAUUCCAAAAAAGGAAAUAAUGAAAGUUGAUAUUUUUCAUCUUCUUAAUUUCUUUUCUUCAACUUCUUCCUCAUUUUUCUCUCCAGGCAUGGUGGUAAGACUUGGGUCUUAGAAAGUCAACACCCAAAUGCCUGAAGACUUGGGUCCCUUUUUUUUCUUUUUCUUUUUUGUCACAAGAAUUAUCACUGGUUGCAUGCCCAAAUUAACUUGAAAAAGUAAAACAAAUCAACAUUAGAAAUGAAGAUUUCAGAUAUAUUCCUACUAACCAACAUUGGAUUGUGUUCCUGGAAACCAUUCUCCUCCUAGAUGCAGUCCAAGUCCAUUUACAGACAGCUCGGGUAUGGAUUUACCCAGCUCAGGACCUACAAGUUAGGGAGAAUCGAAGAAAUCUUAUAAGUAUACAAAAGCAAGAAUGAACAUAAACUUUUAUGCAUAGAAAGAUUUUGACCUUUAUGGGUACGAAUCACAGCUGCAUGUAAAGCGGUCAUCCCUUUCGUGCCCUCACAGGAACAUUCAGAACUGUUUCCUUUCAACAGUUCGUUAGCAAUCUUGAAAAACCCCCUUUCCACAGCCAAAUACAAGGGGGACUCUUUAUGAUUAUUAACCAAAUCCAACAACUUAGGAUUUUCUUGAACCAACCGGUUCACCACCUCAAGAUGACCAUUCCUCACAGCCACAUGCAGUGCCGUAUCAGCCCUCUCAUUCUUCAUUUCCAGUGCUUGCUUGGCAUUUUUACUUUCAAGAAAGCACUUAACCAUGUUACUACAGCCAGUUCUCGAGGCGAUAUGCAGCGGAGUGUCGCCUUUGAAGUCAGCUCUAGUCAGAAGCUCUGGAAACUUCUCAACAAGAGCUUCAGCAAAGCCUAUGCACUUGAAAUUGGCAGCAAUGUGAAGAGCAUUGCGUUUCUGGGAUGUGGCUUGGCAAGGAAUACUCUGGAGGCUAUGUGGCUUCUGCAAGUAGUCCUUAUCCCCAGUUUUAGCAGCUAUGUAAAGAUCAGUAUCCAUGUCUUGACAAGGGAAAUCAGAAUCCAUGGGGAUGCUUGCUAGGAAUCUCCUUCUUUGCAGUCUACGUAUAUAUUACUAAAAGAAUAGACCAGUCCACAUCAAAUGGGGUACAGAGCUUGGUCAACAAUAAUUGCACCUCUCACCUACUGCAUUAACAGAGCUCAUAUCAUCACAAAAACUUUUUAGUACAUAUAAAUAAUUUUGUUUCAUAAAGUAUCAUUAUUAUUACUUCAAUAUAUAUUAGUUUUAUGAAGGGUUUAUGAUUGUAGACGAGUCAAAAUUCAUCCAUUUUGGUUUUGUUUAUCACCUAGUGUGGGCAUUUUGGCUCUUUUACGGUGUGUCCAUCGAUGCAAAUGCUUACACAAAGCUUCAAUGAAUUUUGUGGCACCCACCAAAGCUCCCAAUUCAGAAAUGUUGUUUUUAAAAUAAUAACAGAAUUGAGUAAUUUUCUUGCUUUCUUAUCUCCAAUGUUUUUGCUAAAUACUUUCACUUUUGGAGCUUGGUUUUAUUUCUGAUUUCGUAAGUCCUAAGAUAUCUACUACCAUGUACCUUGAAAGGUUGGUGUUGAAUCUAUUGAUUAAUUGUAUAUGUUAGGACAAUGAGUCUUCAUCAUAAGUUAGCAAUUUUGUUCCUUUUAAUUUUUGGCUUAGGAAUCUUUUUAAAUAGUGACUUACUUUCUAUUAAAGAUUCAAGGUUGUUGUUCGAUCAACUGAAAAGUCAUAUGUAAAUCUAAAAAGGUUUGAUUUGUGGCAAGUUAGGUGUUUAAAAGGUUUAAGUGGAUUGGUAUAUUUUUUAUUGGAUUAAAAAUGUUUUAUUUAAUAUUUUGAAAAUGCAAGGGAUGCUCGAGUGGUGGAAAUAGUGCUUAAGCGUUGGGACCACUCAAAACACUUAUCCAACACUUAAGUGAUCAAGGCACUCAAGUGGUAGGUAAGUGCGCUCAAGUGCUCGUCCCAAAUCUGUGAAAAUAUGGUAGAAUAUUUUUGGAUAAUUCAUGCAAAUUGAGUUUGGAAACUUCACUAUACCAAUCCCCUAAGGCUUGGAGGCCUAUAUAAACCCAUUAUAACCCUUUUAGUAUGAAGUGUAUUAAAACCAAAUGGAAGAAUAAAUAAUCAAAUGGAAGAAUAAGACAAUUAAGGAGAAAGAUUACAUGAAGAUAGGACCUUAUGCUUCAACAAUAAGUAGCCUUAUGUAUGUGAUGUUGUGUCCUAGAUUAGAUGUUUGUUUUACUGUAGGAAUGAUGAGUAGAUAAUAGUCCAAUCCAAGUAUAGAGCAUUGGACAACGGUCAAGUAUAUACUCAAGUAUCUUUAGAGAACAAGAGAUUAUAUGCUAGUGUAUCAUUGUGAUGAGUUGUUACUCGUUGGGUACAUGGAUUUAGACUUUCAAUCUGAUAGAAAUUCUCACAAGUCUACCUUUAGGUUUGUGUUCACUCUAGUGGUAGGGUUGUUAGUUGGACAAGUUUGAAGCAAUCCUAUAUUGUUGACUCUACCUUGAAAAUAUAGUAUGUUGUUGCUUUUGAACCUGUAAAGGAAACCGUUUAGCUUCGAAAGUUCCUGAUUGGACUUGGGGUAGUACUUUUGGUUAUGUCACCCUUGAUACUAUUUUGCCAUAACAAAGAGACGGUAGCACAAUCUAAAGAACCAUGAAUCCAUUGGAAAUGUAAACAAAUAGAGAGAAAGUAUCGCUUGAUACAUAAGAUAAUAAUGAGAUGAGAUAUGGUUAUGGAGAAGAUUGCUUCAAUGGAGCACCUAGCAGAACCCUUCAUGCAUGAAGACUUUGUCUACUAGAGUCUUUGAUGAUCAUAGGGAUAACUUGAGUCUCAAAUGUGUUCCAAGCAUGCCUUAGGGCAAGUGGGAAUUUGUUGGGACUUAGCCCUAAAAGGUAUGACAUGACGUAAUAGAUUAAAAUUUAUUUAUAAUUUUAUUUAUCUAUAUUUCUUGGUUUUCCAUUUAUUAUCUCAUAUGUGUUAAUAGGUUAUUUGAGCAUAAAUGUUCAUAUCUCUUACAUUGUAUAUGACUUGGAUGCAUUAAGAAUUGCACAAAGGAUACAAGUCAUAGGUUCGUUGUAAGUAGAUAAGUUGUCUAUAGUCAAUUCAAAGAUUUGGGAAAUCUAGUAGAAAUUAUAGUGUAGUGCCUCAUAAUUUGAGGGAUGACUUAUCUUGGUCAUCAAGAUAUCUUUUCCAUGGUGAGUGCACUAGUGUAUAUGGUUACACAUUGGAUAGUACCCAUGGUGAAUCAUGACACAAGGCUAUCAAUUAUCAUGAUUCACUAAGCUACUAUACUGCAUGGACUCUAAACCUUGAGAAGAUAUUGAACAUGUGCCCAAUUUAAUGAGAGUCUUUAACCUAUAGGUGAGAUCCUAAGGUGGUCAUAUAUCCUUAUGGAUUUGGUCACUACUAAUAAAUGUCGUUGGCAAUAGGUAUUUUCAAAAUAGGCACCCUGAUAUAUCAUAAGUUUGAGACUAUGUGUCCUCUUGGGUGAUUUAAAGGACAUGUGAUUUAGAAGACUAUGGUCAUAGCAUUUCCUUUAGUAAAAAUUUGACAUAUGCUCUUUGUAAGUAGAGUAUGUCAAUUGGUCACAUAAUAAGUGAGGUAUAUAAUUCAAGGAUUAGAGAAGUAAUCUUGAUAGGUAAUAGUAUUACCUUGUUAGAUUAUGAUACAAAUUCAUAAGAGGUCUGUAUGUAGUGGAUAGUAGGUCACAGACACAAGUUUUGUCUCAUUAUUAUUUACAUAAGGUAUUGGAGUACAAUUGAUUCUCUAUAGUGGGAUGUUGAAUUAAUUUCCAAAUUGGAUUAUGAGAAAGUGAAUACUCUUAUGGGUUCAAUGGUCCCAAUUCAAGCUUAUAUACCUUGAUGGCAUAGUUUACAAGGGUAGGAUUGACACUAGGUUCACUUUUAUGCAAAAGAGUGUUUUGGUAAUUACGUGAGGUUGUAUAAAGGAUAGUGAACAAGGUCUUUGGAUUGAUUUAAUUGAAUAAUUCGAUGGUUCUAUGAGGUUAAUUAAUCAAUUAUGACUCAUUUUGGCUAGAUUAAGUGAUCCAAGAUCAAUUAGGAAAUCUUAUAAAUUCCCCUUUAAAGAUUAAGGUUCCCAUGACUUUUGAGAAGAGAGUCAUCUUUCACCUCCAAAGAGUUUAGAGCCAUAGCUUCCUCUCUUCAAAAGAUCCACUCUUUGAAGUGCCAAGAUUGAAAUGUAGUCAUUAGGCAAAUGAUCUUGGGUUUAUAAGACCUCUUGAGACUUUAGGCUUCAUCUUCACCGUGUGGAUUAGAUUUGGGAACGUCUAAAUUGGAGGUAAAGUUUUCUAAAGCUUUUAAUCUAGAUUCUUUAUUGUUAAAAAAAAAUAUUAUUUUUGCUUCCAUUGCUUAGAAUCUAAAAGCCUAGGGCAGAUUGCAUGUAUCUAUAUAAUUCAGGGCUUAGGAACAAAGUAAUUCAGGGUUCCCAUCAUAUGGUGGGAAAGGUGUAUCAUUCUUCUUUGGUUUAUGAUAAGAUAUGUUAUCGUCAUUGGAAAAUAUGGUACCACUUUUUUAUUAAAAAAAUGAAAAAAUAAAAAAAGGUAAAGCUAAAGUGUUUUGAAAGUACCACUAUGCUAAAAGAAUGGUACACUUUUAAUACACUUUAGUGGUACCUUUUUUUUAAUAAAAGAAUGGUACUCUCUUUUUCAAAGGUUGUGUUGAUUGAUGUUAUCAUGUAAUAUCACCCACUAGAUUCAAAUUAUUUCAUCAUUAGAUAAGAACUCAUGCACAUAAUGAGUGGUAACAGACCUUAUCCUAAACAAAAGAAGAAUGGUACAUUUUUUCUAUCAUAGUGGUACUUUCAACUGAGUUCAAUGGUACUUUUCUUAUAAAAUAAUGAUACCUUCUUUUCCAAGGGUUGUGUUGAUAGGUGUUAUUACACAAUAACAUCUACUUAAUUCACGUUAUUUCAUCAUUAGAUAAGACAUCAAGUACAUAAUGAGUGUUAACAUACCUUCUAUAAACCAAAGAAAAGUGGUACAUCCUUUCCACCAUAGUGGUACUUAAUUUUAACGUACUUUAGUGGUACUUUUUUCAUAAAAGAGUAGUAAUCUCUUUUUCAAGAGUUGUGUCGAUCAAUGUUAUUGUACAAUAAUACACCUAAUUCACAUUAUUUCAUCAUAACAUGUAACGAAGAAUAACAUGUCUUAUCAUAAACUAAAAAAGAGUGACACAUAUUUUCCAUCAUAAUAGUACUUUUAAUAUACUUGAGUGGUACAUAUUUCAUAAAAGAGUGCUACCUUUUGAGUCAACAAGGUGCACAACUUAAGUUGUGCAUUACUUUGAGGUGCACUAAUUUAGUGAUCGAAGAGGAUGCACUAUUUUUUAUUGGCACUCUUAAAAGGUGUCCAACUUCAAUAUGCAAAAGUUUUUAUUUUUAAUAAAAUUAAUAUAAAUGAUUAAAUGUAAUUUAUAUAUAUAUAUAUAUAUAUAUAUAUAUUAUUUUAUAUAAAUAAAAAUAUUAAACAUUUUAACCAAGAAAAAAAAAUUAAAACUAUGGUGAAAUUAGAACCAUAAACAAAAAGCUAAAACCAUAAUCAUUGAUUCUAAUUUUCAUAUGAAAAUUUAAAAAUUUUUAAAAAUAUAACAAUAAAAUAAUAUCGCAGGAUAUUUUUAUUUAAUUUAUAUAUGAUUAGAUUUAUAAAACAAAUAAUAUUUUUUUUAGUAUGGAUAUAUAAAAUCUUAUAUCCUAAACCUCUAAAUUUUUUAUUAUAUAUUUAUUUUUAUAUUAAAUUUGUUCUCAUUAAUUAUUUAUUAUACAUUAUUAUUAUUUAUUUAAAAUAUCCAUAAAUAAUUGAAAUCAAUAACUAUAAAAAGAUGAAAUGGUGACAAAUUUUGAAAUUAAAAAGAUUUCAUGAAGCCAAUACAUUAAAAAAAAAAAAAACAUUGUAGAGUGAAAAAAAAAAAUUUCAUAUGGUAUGGUUGAUUGUCACACGAUAAAGUUUUUAAAAAAUAAAAAUUGUUAUAGUUCAUGGUAGGUAGGAGGAGAAAAGGGUAAUUUUAGAAUUUUGAUGAAUAUAACUAUUUAAGUGUAUAUUUAUAGGAUUAGUUUUUGUAAGUGAGAAGUCAAGUCAAACCUCUAAAAAAAAAAUCUUUUUUUUUUUAAGGUGCACAUGAUUAUAUGAUUCUUCCUAUCUCAAGGCUGGGGCCCAUGCUGAAAUAAUAUGUCAAUAACCCUCCAUAAAGUAGAGUUGUAAAGGCUACUUCCCUUCUGUCUCUGAUAUUUCAGUCUAGUGUGGCUGCUUUUAACGCUUCAUCUACCUCAUCUUCUUUUACGUUGAGCGUGGAAUCCACCAUCAUCUCUAGCCUCAGCAUAUGAUUUGAACUUAGGAGUACCCACACUGACUUUUCAAGUUUUGUCCAGUUGAGGAAACGUUGAAAAUUAUUUAGCAGAAGACUGAUAAUGCAACCUUCUUCAUAAGAUGGGUGAUUUUUGAACACUACUGUACUCUAACCAAAUACCAUUUGUGCUUAUAUACGUACGUAAACGUUAUAACAAGACCAAUCAAGCAAAAUUAUCAUUUUGGUGGAUAAGGGUGUUUUGAGCAGCAUUAGUACAAAAGAAUCAAUUCUCUUCCCCAAGAACAGACGAAGCUCAGUUGUCCAAAAGUGGGGUAGAGGAAGACUGGAAGAGCAGUCCUUGUUAAAAGCCGAUAGCCUUUUCUCUCAUUCCAAAGCAUAUGAUGGACCCUCUAUGUCCCCUCAUAGGUUAUUAAAAACGUACCAAAUGGGAGGGCCAUCUUGUUGGAGCACCGCAUAUUUGACAAAAUAUCUGAAGACCUUCACUGAAUAAUCCAAUUCUGGAUUUGGCUGCCUCCUUAUCAGUCUUUCUUUAUAGCCCCAAUUAUUUCUACCUUUUGGGACGGUGGUAGUGAGCAGAUAAUAUGGCUAUCGAGAUGGGAUUCACACUUCUUGUGGAGUGGUAGUUGUUGAACGUCUGGGUAAAAGGAGCCAUCUCCACUGUGAUACAGUGGAUGGAAUAUCUUUUCCCCUUUAUUACGCAAAUACUUGUUUAAUAAGUUCUUAUUCUCCUGCGAGUAACUUGCGAUUGAUUGUUUGAAUAGGUAGGGAAUUUGUUUAAAUUAGUUCCCCAUCCAUGCCCAUUAGAGGUUCUGAAAUUCAUUUGUAACAUUUAUGAUUUUUUGGAAAAUAAAAGACCUACUCCAAUAAUACCAAUAUGAAUGGUACCACCAAACUUUCGUACGUAUCUAUAAAGAAGGAGAAGGUGCCCAAACAAUGUAUCCAGAAAAAAACAUUCAAGAAAAUAAUCCCAACUACUAGAUUUCAACAAGUAGGAUUUUGAGCAUAAAAGAAAUAAAAUAAAAUAAAAAUAAUGACGGCUUCGAAUGACAUCACUGACCCAACGCAGGCAGAGGAGUUAGGAGUUGCGUGGAAAUUGUGAAAGGCGUAGAUCACGCCACGUGGAAGCAGUGGAGACAUGGCCAGUAGGAUAAUUAAUAUCCAUGUGGAUAACAGAGUGGAUCAAAACAAUGCCAUUCCCAUCAUGAAUGAACACUCAUUAACUUCUGCGUUUACUUGACUUUUGAGAGAUUUGCAAAACAUGUAGAGAGAGAUAUCACUGGAAGAGUUUUCUUCUCAUUAAUCAUGUUAUGACUUUUAGUAAUAAAAUAAGUAUGCAGCUGUUUAGAAAGAAAGAUCAGCAUGGGUAGUUGCAACGCGCAACAAAAAGUCCCAUCAGACUUCUCAUCCCUGGGAAUCUUACACUCGCUAGGUAGACUAAUCAAACCAGGACCCAACUGGUACAAACUACUGUUUCAACCACUCAAUAUUUAAGGAAUCGCUUCCUAGUCACUAAGAACAUAAACUAAUCAAACCCAACCUGGCACAGGCUACCUUAUCGACUAGUCAGUACUCAAGGGAUCAUUUCCUAGUCACCAAGAUCGUUAAUUUAGAAAAUCUUACACUGAAAAAUGACCUAUUCAUCUGCAUGAGCAUAUGCUUUUCACAUCCCACUGAAUAUAAUCUUAACAUCUGUUUCAUUAGUAUGAUUUUCUCUUAAGCUAUUGACUUCAAUAUUUACUAGGAAACGAUAUCAAAGGGAAAAAGAUUACCAAUUCAGAAAAAUGUAAAGCAAGGUACAAAAUACUAGAUGGAGAUAUCUCAAAGAAAGAAAUUCUUUUCCUAUAGCUAAACUAAUGCACACGAUCAAAUCUAACACUGACAUUUGUUCUUGGAGCCAGACAGAAAGCCAAGUACAGAUACAGAGUGUUUUCAAGAUGAGAUUAUUUGGUGUUUUUAACUAUUUAAGUUGAAUGAUGAAAACACAUGACUUCAACAAUGACAAACCAAAUUGGUUAGUAUCCUGCUUAAUAACCGUAGUUUGCUCCAUUCACCGGGCCAUAGCCUCCAGUGUGGCUUGCAUGUGCUGGGUUGGAUGCAGGAGAUGCAUACAUCGAACCAUGAGCUGCAUAAGAAUUAUAGCCUGGGUCAGCAGAUCCACCAGUUUGGGCCUGUGCUGGUGCAGCAGCUUCAGCCAUAAAAUUCUGCAACACAAACAAUCAUUACAAGCAGACAAGUCCAAUUUGAUUACAUAAUGAAGCAUUGACAAAGAAUAAACAAAAUUUUAAUGGAAAAAUCGACUUUUUUGGUUGAGUAAGAUCCCAAUAAAACAAUAAUUAAACAAUUCUAUAUUAUAAGUAAAAAUCAAUGAUGAAGCUAAAUGGAAAAGAAUGAAGUCCAACUGUCUGAAUUGCUGACCACACUUAACAUUUCAAUAAUAUAUAUCCUAUAAAAAAAAUUCUUUAAUUCUUUAAUUCUAGUAAUAAAGUCGGUCCCACCAUACCUACCCCCACACGCACCCAAACACCACAUACAAGGAGACAUCAGAAACAAUGAUCUAAUGCUAAGCAAUGUCAUUAUGCAAAUGGAAACUGCAAUAUUAGCAAAGACAAACCAACAACUUGGUAUCAAAAACAGGGAGGAAAAGUGCCUGUAUCAGUUGCUGAGCUGCUUGGACUUGGGAAGCAGUUCCAUUGAUUCACGUGGCUACAAAAGACUCUUUAGGAGAAAGUUGAGGAGUUCACAUGUGUAUAGGAAGAUGUUGGGCUUUGUGGAGCCUAGUUUUGUUUGAUCCGGUUUGACGACCCGACCCGAAUAAUAUUGCAUGACCUUUUUAAUGGGAGAUUUAUUGAGGCCUGUUGGGCCCGUUUAGCCCAUUGUGGAACCACCUUUUGUAAUUAGGGUUUUUUAGUAUGGUAGGGUUGCCGUGCUAUAUAUAUAUAGAGAAUAUUGUAGCCGCCAAGUUGUACUCUGUAUUCUUCCCUGAUAAUAGUGAUAUCCCUGCAACUCCGUGGAUGUAGGCAAAUUGCCGAACCACGUAAAUACUGUCUUGUGCGUGUGAUUGUUUUUCUUUGACGUGUGUUUUUCCUCUAAUUUUUUGUUUCUCACGGGUUGGGAAUUCGGUUUAAUUCCCUACAACUGGUAUCAGAGCCUAGGGUUAGGUUUGAGUGGGAGCAAUGGCAGAGAAAGCAGGAAAGGCGUCUGGAAUAGAAAAGUUUGAUGGCACAGACUUUGCGUAUUGGAGGAUGCAGAUUGAAGAUUAUCUCUAUGGGAGGAAAUUACAUCUGCCUCUUUUGGGGACAAAACCUGAGAGUAUGAAGGCUGAGGAAUGGGCGCUUCUUGACAGACAGGUNNNNNNNNNNNNNNNNNNNNNNNNNNNNNNNNNNNNNNNNNNNNNNNNNNNNNNNNNNNNNNNNNNNNNNNNNNNNNNNNNNNNNNNNNNNNNNNNNNNNNNNNNNNNNNNNNNNNNNNNNNNNNNNNNNNNNNNNNNNNNNNNNNNNNNNNNNNNNNNNNNNNNNNNNNNNNNNNNNNNNNNNNNNNNNNNNNNNNNNNNNNNNNNNNNNNNNNNNNNNNNNNNNNNNNNNNNNNNNNNNNNNNNNNNNNNNNNNNNNNNNNNNNNNNNNNNNNNNNNNNNNNNNNNNNNNNNNNNNNNNNNNNNNNNNNNNNNNNNNNNNNNNNNNNNNNNNNNNNNNNNNNNNNNNNNNNNNNNNNNNNNNNNNNNNNNNNNNNNNNNNNNNNNNNNNNNNNNNNNNNNNNNNNNNNNNNNNNNNNNNNNNNNNNNNNNNNNNNNNNNNNNNNNNNNNNNNNNNNNNNNNNNNNNNNNNNNNNNNNNNNNNNNNNNNNNNNNNNNNNNNNNNNNNNNNNNNNNNNNNNNNNNNNNNNNNNNNNNNNNNNNNNNNNNNNNNNNNNNNNNNNNNNNNNNNNNNNNNNNNNNNNNNNNNNNNNNNNNNNNNNNNNNNNNNNNNNNNNNNNNNNNNNNNNNNNNNNNNNNNNNNNNNNNNNNNNNNNNNNNNNNNNNNNNNNNNNNNNNNNNNNNNNNNNNNNNNNNNNNNNNNNNNNNNNNNNNNNNNNNNNNNNNNNNNNNNNNNNNNNNNNNNNNNNNNNNNNNNNNNNNNNNNNNNNNNNNNNNNNNNNNNNNNNNNNNNNNNNNNNNNNNNNNNNNNNNNNNNNNNNNNNNNNNNNNNNNNNNNNNNNNNNNNNNNNNNNNNNNNNNNNNNNNNNNNNNNNNNNNNNNNNNNNNNNNNNNNNNNNNNNNNNNNNNNNNNNNNNNNNNNNNNNNNNNNNNCAUCUCAUAACUUUUUUCCCCUCAUGACCUAGAAUAUUUAUAGAGAUAUUUCCAACAACCUUCCUUAUUUUAUAAGGAAGUCUAAUAUUAUAAUAAUAUAUCAACCUAAAAAUAUUCUAUAUAAUAUUCUUUACAAAAAGGAAUCUAUACUAAUUAGGAAUUUGGGACACUUCCUAACAAUCUCCACCUUUGACCAAAUUACAUGAAGUUAAUCUUCAAUCUCUCCAUGACACAAACCUUUUUGUAUCAUAUCACCACGAAAGAGCAAUCGACUCCACCUUCAAUGAAAAUUCCUUUUGUUUUCAUCUUGUGUACUUUGUGAUCUUUUACUCUUCCAGAAAUCUUCAACCCAAGCUCUGAUACCAAUUGUUGUGUCAAAAGGAAAACUACCAGAAUUGAAGUCCAUUGAUUUUGACAUGUGUGAAAGUUGCAUCUUAGGAAAGCAAAAAAAGGUGAGCUUCUUGAAAAUCGGCAGGACACCGAAGGCUGAAAAAUUGGAACUAGUACACACUGAUUUGUGGGGGCCUUCUCCGGUUGCAUCCCUAGGAGGUUCAAGGUACUACAUCACCUUUAUUGAUGACUCAAACAAUCACACACACAGUACACGAGAUUUUAAUGUGGUUCGGCCAACCAUGCCUACGUCCACGGAUGAGAGAGAAUAAUUCCACUAUACAAUAAAGAAUAUUAUAGAGGAUAGAACCAGAUACAACUAUUGGGUUCCCCAAACAUCCCAUGUUUCCCCACUCCUUGUAUCCAUACCUUACUACGAGUCCUCUCGCUCCACCAGGUACCUCCCGUUCUUCCUCACAUCUCUAUCCACCUCGUAUAGUCUCUAUAGGCCCAUCUCCAUCUCAUAACUUUUUUCCCCUCAUGACCUAGAAUAUUUAUAGAGAUAUUUCCAACAACCUUCCUUAUUUUAUAAGGAAGUCUAAUAUUAUAAUAAUAUAUCAACCUAAAAAUAUUCUAUAUAAUAUUCUUUACAAAAAGGAAUCUAUACUAAUUAGGAAUUUGGGACACUUCCUAACAAUCUCCACCUUUGACCAAAUUACAUGAAGUUAAUCUUCAAUCUCUCCAUGACACAAACCUUUUUGUAUCAUAUCACCACGAAAGAGCAAUCGACUCCACCUUCAAUGAAAAUUCCUUUUGUUUUCAUCUUGUGUACUUUGUGAUCUUUUACUCUUCCAGAAAUCUUCAACCCAAGCUCUGAUACCAAUUGUUGUGUCAAAAGGAAAACUACCAGAAUUGAAGUCCAUUGAUUUUGACAUGUGUGAAAGUUGCAUCUUAGGAAAGCAAAAAAAAGGUGAGCUUCUUGAAAAUUGGCAGGACACCGAAGGUUGAAAAAUUGGAACUAGUACACACUGAUUUGUGGGGGCCUUCUCCGGUUGCAUCCCUAGGAGGUUCAAGGUACUACAUCACCUUUAUUGAUGACUCAAGUAGAAAGGUAUGGGUUUAUUUUCUGAAAAAUAAAUCUGAUGUAUUUGUAACUUUUAAGAAGUGGAAGGCCAUGGUUGAGACAGAAACAGGUUUGAAAGUAAAAUGUUUGAGGUCAGAUAAUGGAGGAGAGUACAUAGAAGGAGGAUUCAGUGAGUAUUGUGCUGCACAGGGAAUUAGGAUGGAGAAGACCAUUCCUGGGACACCACAGCAGAAUGGUGUGGCUGAGCGCAUGAACAGAACUCUCAAUGAGCGUGCUAGAAGUAUGAGGUUGCAUGCUGGACUACCAAAAGCUUUUUGGGCUGAUGCUGUUAGCACUGUUGCUUACCUGAUAAACCGAGGACCAUCAGUUUCCAUGGAGUUCAGACUUCUUGAGGAGGUUUGGAGCGGUAAAGAGGUGAAGUUUUCACAUUUAAAAGUUUUUGGUUGUGUUUCUUAUGUUCAUAUUGAUUCUGAUGCUCGUAGUAAACUUGAUGCAAAGUCAAAAAUAUGUUUUUUCAUCGGCUAUGGUGAUGAGAAAUUUGGCUAUAGGUUUUGGGAUGAACAAAACAGGAAAAUUAUCAGAAGUAGAAAUGUGAUAUUUAAUGAACAGGUUAUGUACAAGGACAGGUUAACUGUAACGUCAAAUGUUACAGAGAUAGAUCAAAAGAAAUCUGAGUUUGUCAACUUAGAUGAAUUGACUGAAAGUAUUGUCCAAAAAAGGGGUGAAGAAGAUAAGGAGAAUGUAAAUUCAAAGGUAGAUUUGAGGGCACCUGUAGUUGAAGUUCGCAGAUCUUCCAGGAACAUUAGACCUCCACAGCGUUAUUCACCUGUUUUAAAUUAUCUCCUGUUGACUGAUGGUGGUGAGCCAGAGUGUUAUAAUGAAGCCUUGCAAGAUGAGAAUUCAAGCAAGUGGGAGUUAGCCAUGAAGGAUGAGAUGGAUUCCCUGCUGGGGAAUCAGACAUGGGAACUGACUGAAUUGCCAGUAGGAAAGAAGGCUUUGCACAACAAGUGGGUAUACAGAAUAAAGAAUGAGCAUGAUGGUAGCAAACGUUACAAGGCCAGAUUAGUGGUUAAAGGGUUCCAACAGAAGGAGGGCAUUGACUACACAGAGAUAUUUUCUUCAGUUGUGAAGAUGUCAACAAUUAGACUUGUACUUGGAAUGGUGGCUGUAGAAAACUUACAUCUUGAGCAGUUAGAUGUGAAGACAACAUUCCUUCAUGGUGACUUGGAGGAAGACCUUUACAUGAUUCAGCCAGAAGGGUUCAUUGUUCAGGGACAAGAGAAUCUAGUCUGCAAACUGAGAAAGAGCUUGUAUGGCCUUAAACAAGCUCCUAGACAGUGGUACAAGAAGUUUGACAAUUUUAUGCAUAGAAUUGGGUUCAAGAGAUGUGAAGCUGAUCAUUGUUGCUAUGUUAAGUCCUUUGACAAUUCUUACAUCAUAUUACUGUUGUAUGUGGAUGAUAUGCUUAUUGCAGGGUCUGACAUUGAGAAGAUUAAUAAUCUGAAGAAGCAAUUGUCCAAACAGUUUGCAAUGAAGGAUUUGGGAGCUACAAAGCAUAUCCUUGGUAUGAGAAUCAUUAGAGACAAGGCUAAUGGUACAUUGAAACUUUCACGGUCAGAGUAUGUGAAGAAAGUUCUCAGCAGGUUCAACAUGAAUGAAGCUAAACCAGUGAGCACACCCUUGGGUAGUCAUUUCAAACUAAGCAAAGAACAGUCACCGAAGACAGAAGAAGAAAGGGACCAUAUGAGCAAGGUGCCCUAUGCCUCAGCUAUUGGCAGCUUGAUGUAUGCUAUGGUGUGUACAAGGCCAGACAUUGCACAUGCAGUGGGAGUUGUGAGCAGAUUCAUGAGUAGGCCUAGAAAGCAGCAUUGGGAGGCAGUCAAGUGGAUUUUAAGAUAUCUGAAGGGUUCAUUAGAUACAUGUCUUUGCUUCACAGGUGCAAGUUUGAAACUGCAGGGUUAUGUAGAUGCUGAUUUUGCUGGUGAUAUUGAUAGUAGAAAGAGUACUACUGGGUUUGUUUUUACUCUAGGUGGUACAGCUAUAUCAUGGACUUCAAAUCUACAGAAGAUUGUUACUUUGUCUACUACAGAAGCUGAGUAUGUUGCAGCAACUGAAGCUGGAAAGGAGAUGAUUUGGCUACAUGGUUUCUUAGAUGAAUUGGGUAAGAAGCAGGAGAUGGGCAUUCUACACAGUGACAGUCAGAGUGCAAUUUUUCUUGCCAAAAAUUCGGCUUUUCAUUCAAAGUCAAAACAUAUACAAACAAAAUACCACUUUAUCCGUUAUCUUGUUGAGGAUAAACUGGUAAUACUUGAGAAGAUUUGUGGAUCUAAGAACCCUGCAGACAUGUUGACUAAGGGUGUCACUAUUGAGAAGUUGAAGCUGUGCGCAGCUUCAAUUGGUCUUCUAGCUUGAGGACAGGAGGAUGAGUUGUAGGGAUAAGGGAUCGUUUCUUGGAGGAUAGCGGUUUGAUGUUGGUGAUUGGACUAGUCUCCAAGUGGGAGAUUUGUUGGGCUUUGUGGAGCCUAGUUUUGUUUGAUCCGGUUUGACGACCCGACCCGAAUAAUAUUGCAUGACCUUUUUAAUGGGAGAUUUAUUGAGGCCUGUUGGGCCCGUUUAGCCCAUUGUGGAACCACCUUUUGUAAUUAGGGUUUUUUAGUAUGGUAGGGUUGCCGUGCUAUAUAUAUAUAGAGAAUAUUGUAGCCGCCAAGUUGUACUCUGUAUUCUUCCCUGAUAAUAGUGAUAUCCCUGCAACUCCGUGGACGUAGGCAAAUUGCCGAACCACGUAAAUACUGUCUUGUGCGUGUGAUUGUUUUUCUUUGGCGUGUGUUUUUCCUCUAAUUUUUUGUUUCUCACGGGUUGGGAAUUCGGUUUAAUUCCCUACAGAAGAUUGAUUCACAAGGCCCUUGAAAAUUUUCUAUUUAAAGCUCUUGUAAGGAAAAUGGGAGACAUAUCUUCCUUCUCCAUCAUUCCUUCUUUUCUCAUUUCUUUUUUCUUGAUAUAAAGCUAAGGAUUCUCUCAUUUCUUUCUUCUUCAUUGUAAGUUACUUGAUUGAAGCCAAAAUAUGUGCUCCAAUGGCACAUAUAUGAUGUUAUAAUUUAUGUAAUAUAAAAAGUUCAAAUCAUCCAACUUAACUUAAUUUCAUGCUACGACCAUAGUUAUGGAUCUAACUUUUAUUUUGAGCCUAAUUCUAAGUUUAAGGGAUGACAUAAAUGGAUAAGUGCAAAAGUCAUUAUCAACCAAGAAAGUAGAAGGGGUUAAAUUAUAACUAAGAGACUCAAGACUUAUGAACCAUGAAAGUCCAAGAAAGGGUGUAAGAAGCAAGCCAUAGGCAUGAAAUACCAAUAGUAGAUGUUAUGGAUUGAGAUAGAGGGCAAGAAACCAUAAUGGAGGAGGUUUGAAGCAAAUGUAAUCAAGUUCACAUGAAAUUUUGGAACUCAAAAUUUGGCAGUAAUAUUUACUUUGACUUUGAGAUAAAGUUUAGAACACUUUUUGAGGUCCAUUUUGGGAAAACUAGAUAUUGUUUCGAAGCUUGAGAAGUCAAAAGUCCAACGCUUCAAAUGAUGCACAAAUCGGAGUUGAAAUGAGGAAGUUAUGUGCAUUUGAAGCAAACUAGGGAAAGAAAAAUGUUGAGUUUGAAAUUGACAUCCUGAAUUCGAAAUGGUUUUUGGCUAGUUAAAACUCAAAAGGAAUGCAAGGAUACUUGUCAUAGAGGCUAAGUUUUAUCCUCCUACCUAUUUCAAAUAGGAGACAAAUUUCAAACCCAAAAACAUGCAUGGUGGGCCAUUUAAAACUCAAAGGAAUGCAAGGAUACUUGUGGCAAAAGCUAAGUUUGAAUCCCCCUACAUAUUUUGAAAAAGAGACACACAUUUCCAACCCAAAACUAUAGUGAACAUGCAUGGGCAGUGUGUGAGUUCUAAAUUCACUGUGAAUUUGUGGAUGUCACCAUUUUUUGUAAUAGACCUUUCGGAUAUCUAUCUAGCCUUCACAAUUAUUAAAAAGUAUUUAUUCCAAUAAUUAUGAUUGUAACCCUACAAAUAAGGUUAAGAAUAUUAGUGGAAAUUUAUAACUUCAGAGUUCACUUUCUUAUCUAAUUUUCCUCUCCUCUUUAUUGCCUUCAUUUACAACAUCAAAAAAAUUAUUAUUGUUUCAUCUACAAGUUGUCUAAAACUCAUUAAAUUCAGAGCAUAGAAGUAUUGAACAUUCUCAUAUAUAUACAUUUGUUUGAGGCUGUGAUAACAUACAAUUUUACAUUAUAUAUUAAUGGAUAUAUUCCUACCGUCAUAUCUUGUAGUGGAUCACACUAUCAAACCUAGAAGUAUUCGAAGGAAUUACCAAAAACCUUCUAUUAAGUAAAUACGCAGAGAUUUUAGAGUAAAAUACAGGCAGUUCCUUACUAAGAGAGUAUUCCAUCUAUACAUGAACUAAUGUAUAUAUUGUCUAUAAAUUAAUUGUGAAAUUAAGAAUAUACAAUUAAUAUCACAUUCUAUUCUAUGGUUCUACAGAAUCCCAAAGAUGUAAAAACUCAAGAAUAAACACCCAAGCACAAUUGAAGUUGUUGAAGUUGAGAAGGAAUCAGGUAGCAUCACAUAAAUGCCUGAAGUAAAUGCUAUCACCAUUCCCAGUAGAGAGAUGUAAGUGAGUAGGGCGGAAAAUUUUGUGAAACGUGGAAGCAAAUGAUAGUUUUGUUCCAGUGAAGCAAAAAAGUGGAGAAACACAGCUGCAGAUGAGCAAUAGAAAGCCAUAGCAUCUAUUAUCACAAAGACUUUGAAACAUGCCUUUGUUGAUAAAACUGACUUACCCUUGUUUGGGUUAUCUUCAUUGUACCCACCAGGUAGAGAAACAAGCUGCAAAAGUUACUGUUGCUAUGAGGGUUGCCACCAGUAGAUGGGCGUUUGAUACAUCCUUCAAAUACUUAGAUGUGAUAUGUUUCUUCUUUACAACUUCAUUAUUCAUGUCACAAAGCGAUUCACUUGCAUGAAGUGAUGUUCUCUCUCUGUCCUCUCUAAGCUCUAACUCAUUUAUGCCUUCAUUCGGUCCUUCAUUGUCAUUGAUUGUUCUGUCUGUGUUCUCUCUAACGAUCAGCUGCUCGAGACUUUGUUGAGCACCGCCAUUCUCCAACACUACAAGGAAAAACAUAUGUCGUGACAUUUAUAAUGAGUCACCCUAAACAUAGGGUGUCGCUACAACAUAGUGUCACCUUAUCCACUGACACCAUAGAGAGUACCAAUUGGUGACGUAUUUGGAAGAGACACCAAAGCAGAUAAAUGGUGACACAUUUAGAAGCGACACCAUAUAUUUUUAGUGAUGUUUAAUUUGAUAUAGAGUUGUGUGAGAUAUAUAAGGUGUCAUAUUAAAUGCAUCACAUUUGAGUUAUGAUGUCAUGUUAAAUGCAUCACCUUCGAGUUAUGGUGUCACAUCAUUGCAAAUGAUUAUUGAAGAUAUGGUUGGUUUUUUGUUGAUUAGCCUAUAGAUUUUUGUAAUGCUUAUUAAUAAAUAAGAUCAACGUGUGUAAAUUUUGUCCAUAAAUAUAAUAAUCAUAUUACAUUUAACUUAUAUUUUCAUAAUGCUUAUGAAUUAACUUGUAAUACAUUACAUCAUCCACUAAUAUUUGUAUAUCAAAUGUUCACAAAACAUAGUAUAUCAAACCCACCAAAACUAAAAAAGAAAAGUGAAUACACAUUAUAACAUGAUUUAGAAAUGUUAAGCAUCUCAACAUUCAUGUAUACUUGCAUUUCAUAUGCAUAAAACCGGCUAACCAUAAAAUGACACAAGAGUUGCAUCCAAAAACCCAAAAUUCUCAAUUCCAAAUAAAAUAACAUUUAUGUAGUAUAAUGUAUGACAUAAGAGUCACAUCUAAAAAUCCAAAUCUUGAUGCCACUUUCUCCUUUCUUUUUAUUUUUCAUACUGUCCUCCCAAGAGUGUAUACCUGCAUUUUAUAGUUUAAUGAGUUUUAGAGUUUUUAUUGAAAAUAAAAAUGUGAUGUUAUAAAAAAUAAACAAAUCUAAGUACUAAUAUUUUUUUUCUUUUUCCUAUUUUGAUAUAAAAAUAGUUCGUAAACAAUAAGUAAUGCUAUAUAAUACCAAUGGAAAAUUUAUAUAACAACUAAGGGACUCACCAUGCAUGAUCAUGAUACAUCAACAUGAUUCAUGAUUAGUUAUAACACAAAAGUAAUCAAUUGUCCUAUAAUUUCAUCAAAUUCUACUUGAGAAUAUGUUUUUUUUUGUCAUCAAACUAAAAUCAAAUGAAAAUAACAUUAAUAUCACAAUAAUUGGAAGUAUGAAACUCUGUACAAUUCAUUAAAUGAGUAAAACUUUUAAUGCAAUAACUGUAGAAUCAACCAUUAUCUCUUUAAUGAAUCUCAUAACAAAAUAGUCACAUUUGAACCAAAUAAAAACAAUUCAAGAAAAUAAAAAAUAAAUAAAAACUACAAAAUAAAAAAUAAAAUCUAAAAUUUUAGAAAAUACUAAUCUUCCACUUAAAAUCUACACUUUUUAAAUUUAUUUUUAUAAUUCAUUAUGCUUUUAAAAAUCAUUUUUAACAUCUAAUUCUUUUUAUAUUUUUUUUAUUUCUUGGAAGGAUUUUCUUAAUUUCAAUUUUUUUUUAAUGUUCAUUUUGUGAAAUAACAAUGUCCAUUAAAAUUCAUCUCAAUUAUAUAAAAUAAAAUUUUAGUAACAAAAUAUAAAAAUGUUUUUAACUACUAAUAUGAUAGGACAUGAUUUUAUAACAGGUAUGAAAAUUGUGUAUAUAAGACAAAAAAACCUAAUUCACUAUUAAAAAAUGUUAAGAGAAAAAUUAGUAUGAGAAAGAAUUAAAGAACCUUUCAUAAAAAUUAUUGAUUUUUCAGUCAUAACUCCAAUUGAUAUUUUUUUUUCUAAGUAAAAUAAUUAAUAGAAAAUUUGGAUAUGAAAAAUAUGUUCAAAUAAAAAUAAUAAUAAAAUAAAAACAUCAAAGGAAAAAAUAUUCAAUACUUUAAUUUUUUACUUUUAAUAUUCUGUAGAUCAAUAAUUAUCAAAUAUAAAAAAGAAAAAUGAAGAAAAGGAAGAGUUUUAUGGAAGGAAUUGGAAAAAAUUUUGUACUAAAAGGAUUUUAUAGAAAUUUCUUAACCUUCAAAGGAAAAUUUCAUCAUCAAUCUCAAAUUACUCCAAAGUUUGGUUAAUGCAUAUAAAAACAAUAAGAAAGGAAGGCAAAAAUAAAACACAUUUUUAGAAUCCUUUUGCGGGUGAUGACAAUAUUGAGAAUAAUUUUCUCAAAAAUUAUUUUCCAAAUAUCACCAACCAAUAUCCUCAUCAUAACAUACUAUAAUAUUCUUAAAAAAUAAACAAACAAUCCAAUAAAAGGAAAUUUCAUAGAAAUCAAAAGAAAAUUAUCAAACAUCUCCUUCAAAAAAAAAGAAAAAGAAAAAGGAAGAGUUUUAUGGAAGGAAUUAAAAAAAUUAUGUAAUAAAAGGAUUUUAUAGAAAUUUUCUAACCUUGAAAGGAAAAUUUCAUCAUCAAUCUCAAGUUACUCUAAAUUUUGGUCAACACAUAUAAAACUAUAUAAAAAAAAAGGUAAAAACAAAAAGCAAAAAACAUAUUUUAAGAAUAUAAAAAAUAUGAAUAGAACAAGAUGAGAUAUUAACCAUAAUACCAUGUAAAAGAAUAGAAAAAAAAAAUCAAAAUGUAAGAUUUGAUCAUUUUUAUAAUUAUAAAAAUUUUCAUUCCUAUUUAAAUUAAAAAAAAAAACAAUUCAUUUACAUUAAUAAAUAAAAAAUAAAAUUAAUUUCUCAUUGUUAAUUCCAACAUUCCAAACCGACUCCAACAUGAUAUGGAAACUAUUUCAUUUUUCAUUUUAUGGGAGAUGACAAUAUUGAGAAUAAUUUUCUAAAAAAUUAUUUUUCAAAUAUCACCAAUCAAGAUCCUCAUCACAAUGUACUACAAUAUUCCUUGAAAACAAAUAGAAAGUCCCAUCAAAGGAAAUUUCCUACAAGAUCAAAAGAAAGUUUCAUGUUGUAAAAUGUUUCUCUCAUUCUAAGUAUAAAAGAUAUUUAAAAUCAUUCAUUUUGGGGUUUAUGGGUUUAACAAUGAACUAGAAGAUAUGGUGGAAUGUUAAACCUAGUUUUUACUUUCUUACAACUCAAUAAAAAAACAUUAUUUACACAAUCCAUAUUACAAAUAUACCAAAUCAAUAAACAUAAAUCAAUUGUGUUAAUAAAGAUUUUGACAUUAAUAAAAAAAAAAUGAAAAUGAUAAAUCUAAGAUAUUUUGGGUUACCUGAGAAUCCACGAAGCAGAGAAGAGCAGUUGUGUGUUAACUAUGAGUGUGAGAAGAGGUAGAGGAAAACUUUGGGUGUGAGAAGAGGCAGAAGAAAACUUUGGUUAGGGUUAUGGAAUGAGAUUUUUUUGGAUUGUGGGUAUGUGGAAACAAUGACUUUUUUAUAUACUAUCAUUAUUCUUGAAGUAGGCCCAUUAAGUUAUAAUAUUUUUAAAAAAAAUUAUUUUAUAUGGUGUCACUUUUCGAAAACUCACACUAUAAAUCUAAAAUUAAUAUCAUUGAUCCUAAUUGAAAAUUUUUAUAUAAUGUGUCACCUUUUUGGAUUUUAAAUCAUAUGGUGUCAUUAUUUCAUAAGUGACACCACAAAUUAUUUUUGUAGUAGUGCAACUUCCUCAUGAUCAAAGAAUGGAAAGUUUUUUUAAAGAACUUAGAAUAAAAUGUUGUUUUUAGAUACCAAGGCACAUAUAUGACCAAAAAAUUCAAUUAAGGCAACAUAUUUCUUCUGUCUUUUUUUUUUUUUUUUCUUUUUUUUCAAGUUUCACAUAUUUAAAGAGAAAUAAAGCAGUGGAACCAAUGCAUAAUCUAAAAUCAUCGGUUUUCGAUGCACAUACCUUUUUUAUUUCUCCCAGAUCCAUAUUUGAUUGGACAAUGUCGAUAGCCUUCAAAUAUUUCUUGUUUGAUGCCUUCUUAUCCACUCUACGAUCUCCGAGCUUUGACCCAAAAUGCUACACUUUAAAAAAAAAAUCCAUAAAGUAAACCUAAUGUGAAAAUAAUGCCCAAUCUAGUGCGUUUGUGCCACAUAGAUUACCACAUCAUAAAAUCGUAGUUGGUAACUACGGUUUUAUUUUUUUAAAACAUUCAAAACCGUAGUCACCAACUACGGUUUUAACUGUUUUUACAAAUAGUCAAAGCCGUAGUCACCAACUACGACUUCAACUUUAAUUUUAUAUAUAUAAAUAAUUAUAUUGCUUGAUUUAAAAUAUUUAACUUUAAUUUAUUUAAAUAAAAAUAUUAUAUUAUUUUGAUUUUAGAUAGACUAAAAGUAUGUGAGUGAUUUAAUAAAAAUAUUUAACUUUAAUUUAUUUAAAUAAAAAUAUUAUAUUAUUUUGAUUUUAGAUUGACUAAAAAUAUGUGAGUGGUUUAAUAAAUAUAUUUAACUUUAAUUGAUCUCAUUAUUUAAAGAAUAAUAAUAUAUGAAAUUAAAUAAUUGAUGUCUUUAAUUUGAUAUAAAAAUAUUUUGGUUUAGUUUUAUUAAAAUAUUUGACACUAUACUCAAUAUAAAUAUAAUUAGUUAUAAAUAUACUAUUUUAUGCCCUCAUAAUGAAGAAUAUUAUAUUAUUUUGUAACUUUGUACAAAAAUUAAAGCCAAUUAUGCAUUUGUACAAAACAUAAUAUGACUUCAAGUGGGUAAAUAAUUGGAAAAUUACUUAAAUACAACAAAAAUAAUUUUAUUUUCUCCAAUUUUUUCCUUUCAAAAUGGGAUCAAAAUGGAAUGGAAAGGCUUAAAAUUUUAAACUUAAAAUGCCAACCUAAUAGAAUUUGUUUUUCCACUUCUUAAAAUAUAGAAUUGUAGAAAGAAAAUACCUAUGUUUUUCCAAUCAAUUCACCAUUUAGUUUAACUGUUUUGGUAAAUAAAUGAAAAUGCUUUUAGAACAUUUUUGUAAAUUCAUUGAGAAUAAGAAAAAUGUUCCUUAUUGGGUUUUAACGGGAGUUUUGGACAAAAAUGAUUUCUUUAAAACAAAAAAUUCAUAAAUUAAUUUUAUUCUCAAAAUAAUUUUCAAUGUGAUGUGUGUCUUAUUCAUGAGGGUAUUUACAUCAUAAAACUGUAAUUGGUAAUUAUGAUUUUUGAUUUUUUUUUAAAUAGUCAAAAUAGUAGUUGGUGAUCAUAGCUCUAAAUUUAAACCUAAAACCAAUUUUUUUAAGUUCAAUUUUUUAAAUCAUGCGAAUGUUCAAUAUGCGAUGGUCCUCUCCAAUAACAUGCAAAAUAUCAAUAGCAAUUCGAUGAAUGUUGCCUAAUGCACCUGAAGUAGGCUCAGCAAAUCGACUAGCAAUCUCAACCAUACCAGUGAUCUAUUAAAAAAAAAAAAAAAAAAGUUAAACAGACAAAGAUGAUUUUUAAUUAAUUAAAAUUUAAUAAACCAUUUAUAAAUUAAAAAAAUCUUACCAACAACUGAGUAGCUGCUGCUGUACUAUGAUACCUCAUCUGAUCUCUAUGGAAAGGGGGUGUGAUCAAACGUCGUGUAAUACGUCGGUACCACUCUAUAUAUGGAUCAUGAAACUGCAUAGCACCCACCAUAGGUGGUGCCGUCACAAUACGCUCUGCACGACUAGCCCAUAAGGUAAUAUACUGUGCAUGAAAUGCCUCCCAAUCAUACUUAUGUCGUCCUCGCCUAUCCAUGGAAUGGAGGUGUUGCUCUAUGGAACAAGAUGGAGGUAUCCCUUGUUAGAGGCCAAACUAUCGCAACACUCGCUCCGGUCGAUACCACUCGACAAUGUCAAAGCAAAUAAGAGGUGACAUCAUCCUCUAAAUCUCCUGGUCUGCUAGAGAUAUCGCUGGAAGAUGGGCAACUAAGUCUUCCAUGUAAGGCUCCCAUAAAACCUGUUAAAAUCAACAUUUGAAAUUAAUAAAGUUAAUGUUUAUAUGGUUAACAAUAGCACAUUAGAUCUUAUAUGUACCUGGUCAUGGGUCUGUGCAUCUAAUUGGUCUCGAUAAAAUGUCAACACACGUGAUGGGUUUUGAGCCCAUGAUAAAGGUACUCUCCACCUACAUCCUAACGGAUCAGCUAGUAAACCCUCAUGUAACAAUGCCUCAUACUGUAAUCCCUGCUCUAAAUGCUCAACUGGUAAAUCAUUGACUGCAUCAUCCUCUAAAUGCUAGGCUGUUGGAGGGGUUGGUGGUUGACCAAAAUAAGGUCGACCCAGGUGGAGUCUCUCCCAAGACCAUAACUGCAAAAAAAUGUAACAUUAAAAUUUUACUUAAAUUAUAAACUUGAAACAACUAGAAAUUUCAAUCUAAUGUGAAUAAUUAAUUAUACCUAUAAUAGUGUGACACAUCCAGCAAUAUCGGUGGCACCAUCCAAACUCACUCGACACAACUCCCUAUAUAGGUGUGCUAAUACUGCACUACCCCAACUAUACAUAGAUGUCUAAGUCAAGUCUCUAAGAAGUGGGAGAUAACACAUAUGUAUGUGAGUACCCUUCUUGUCUGUAAAUAGAGUUGAACCUAUGAGUUCUAAUAUGAAAGCACAUGCAUACUGCUCUAAUGUGGCAUCAUCUAAAUCAACUGGUGGAUGAGAGAACUGGUGACAUAGCCAUCGUGUCGAUAUCGCUGAUCCUUUAAUCUCAGAUGUAGGGGGAGUCACCCCUAAAAGUUCAUAACAUAGCAAUGACCAAUCUAUAUCACAUGUGCCAGUGAUGGGAAGCCCAUGAAUACGAAGACCUAAUAUGACAGCAACAUCCUGUAAAGUAAUGGUCAUCUCCCCAACAGGUAAGUGAAAUGUGUGUGUCUCAGGACGCCAUCUCUCAACUAGACUAGUGAUCAAUCCCCAAUCUAGUGUAAUGUGUCCAAUACGAUAUACACCAUAAAAUCCAGAUUGAAUAAUAUAAGGUCGAAGACGAGGAUCCAUCUCCCACUCCCGCAUAAACCUAGAUAUAUGUUGUCAACAAGUCAAGACUGAAGCAAGCUGUAAAAAUACAAAUAAAUCAUUUAGAUAAUAAACUGUAAUUUUUUUCAUUCUUUAAAGAGAUAUUAUGUGUUUUCAUAUACAUACCUGACCAGAGUCAACUAAAUGAGACCUAUGUCUAUCAUGUAGAACCAAAAUAGACAUAUCUAAUGGAUCUGGAUCAGAACUAUGUCCUCUAUACUCCAUAUUUGUAACAAAAUUGUGAAGAUAAAUAAACAAUACUUAUUGUUUUUAAAUAAAAAAAUAUUUUUAAUGGAAAAGUUUUAAAAAUUUAUGGAGUUUUCCAUAUAUUAAGUAUAUAUCAGUUUGAUAAAUUUAAGUAGAUCAAUUCAUUUAUGACCAAUAAACAAGUCAUACUAGUUUAAAAUAAAAUUAGAGAUACAAAUACAAUGAAGCAUUUUGUUAACAUUUUUAAUAGAAAAUUUCAAAAUUUUGACAGAGUUUCCCCUAUAGUAUGGACAUUAUUCAAAAUACAAAUAACCUGAUUAGGCAAAUAACAUCAAUAUUUAUAAUCAAACCAAAGCCAAUAAUUGAAUAAAGGUAGUAUCAUAGUAGCUUACAUCACAAUAUCCAAGAAAAUUACAUGCACACAUCACAAGGUCUAAUCAACUCUAUUACUGUUUUGACAAGAACGACGAUUGUGGCCACUUUGUUUGCAUAACCCACAUGUAAUAGAAGUCUUGCCAUCUCUAACAUCCAUUUCAUUAUGCAAACGACUUGAUUUAGGUCAUCCACUCCAUGCACGUUUCAUCGACUCAGAAGGCAUGAUAAUCGGGCCAUCAUAAGGAAGCCACUCAUAUACAUUGAAAAUGGGAUGGAACAAGGGUGCCCAAGUAUUAUAGUACGAUUGUGUACUGUAGUAGUGUUGAACAAGUGGUCUAAAAUCAAUUGAACGAAAAUGACAUGCUGCUAGAAUAUGACUACAUGGGAAUCCAUAUAUGAGUGUUUUACCACACGUGCAUGCAUACUCCUGUAAGUUGACGCGAUAUGUUCGACCACGAGUUGAGCUACUCUUAGUACCCCUAUUACUCUUCACAUGGAAUUGUCCUUAGAUGUGAUCAUAUAAAAUAAUCUCAUGAGAUCCCACCUUAACCACAUUUGCCUUCAUCUUAGCAUCAACAUAUGGAGUGUAUUCCUCACUUGAAGCAAGUCGAUUAGCACCUUGUUCCCUUCUCACAACAAAGUAACUAUUUAGCCGAAAAAAUGUCAAUUGAACCAAAGCAGUUACGGGUAAGCUACGAGCCCCUUUAAGCACACUAUUGAACAUCUCCGCCAUGUUUGUAGUCAUGAUGUCGUACCUUCGACCUCCGUCAUGAGAGAGUGCCCAUUUCUCAAAAGGGAUUGCUUCCAACCAUUGUUGUGCGGCUGCAUUAAUCCUCCCAAUUGUGUUCAUAUGUUUAUUGAAUUUUUCAAUCUUGGUUGCUAAAGCUUCUCUGCACAUCAGAUUUUUUAAUAUUUUAUCCUUGAAUCGAGUCAUAAAAUUGCUAGCAAGAUGACGCAUACAAACCCUAUGAUAUGCGUAUGGCUCAGACCAACCAAGAUGAACAUCGCUCAUUGCAGCCAUAAUGCCUGGAUGUCGAUCUGAUAUAACACAAAGUUUCUUCCUAUUAGUGACUCUUGUUCUAAUACAUGCCAAAAACCAUCCCCAACUAUCAAUAUUCUCACCCUCUAUUAGGGCAAAAGCCAAUGGGAAUAACUGAUUAUUUCCAUCACAACCCAUAGCAAUCAUUAAAGUGCCUUUAUACUUCCCAUACAAAUGUGUACCAUCAAUACUGAGUACAGGCCGACAAUGCUUGAAUCCUUCAAUAGAUGGCUGAAAUGUCCAAAAAACUUGUUGAAAUAUUUCUGUAUUCUCCAUAAUACCAAGAAAUGUUUUUGAAAUUACAACACAUCCUGGAUUUGCCUGCUCUAAGGCAAUGAAAAAAUGUGGCAGCUCUGUAUAUGACUUAUAAUAAUCACCAAAUAAGUUUGUAAGAGCUUUAAGCUUUACUUUAGAUGUCUUCUUGUAUGAUAUUUGGUAUCCGAAUUUCUCCACAAUACUUGCUUGAAUAGCAGCCACUGACAAUGUGAAUUGUGCCUUAAUCAUUCCUUGGAUAUGAGCAGCAAUCAAGUUGGAAUCUAAUUGUUGAUGAUCCCGAUUCAAGCAAGGAUUUACACAUUUGUGGGGACCAUUGUGUUUAUUGAUUGCAAAUGAAGUUGUACCUUUUACAACCAUAGCAUGAAGUUUCCAUGGACAUUGCGAUUGCUCAGCCUUCUUGCAUCUUAGGACCAACAACUUUGUAGUUGACGAAACAACAACGUACUCUUGGUGUUGACUUAAAGAGUACAACUUUGUAGCAUGUUGUAAAUCUGCUUUUGAAUUAAAAACUUGGCCAACCAUGAACUCUCCAUCUGAGUUUCCAAUAUUAGUGUUCCCCCAUGGGGUCCAGUCACUUGAAACGGUGUUACCAAUGUUUUCUACAUUUUCAAACUGCAAUGAUGGUGCCGAGUGAUACUGAACAGGGGAAUACUCUAUUGGAUCAUCAAGAUCUGGGUUAUUUGACAUAUCACAACAUUCCCCAUCCACGGAGACAUAUCUCCCUUGUUCACUUUCCAUUGCUUCGUGAAGAGCUAAGAAAGAUGAAACAACAUUAACAUUAUUGUUUUCCUCAUCAAUAAAUUCAAACACCCCAUCGCCAUCAUGUUGAACAUCUUCUGCUCUCUCACUUUGAUCAUCACCUUCUUGGGAUUCACAUUCUUCUUCAUUUUCAUCUGCUUUACACUCAUAAGUCAUUGCAACUGGGGCACUACUAGGUCCACAACCAUACUCAAAUUCCUCAACAUUAUCAUUUUGUCCGAGUAAUAAUUGUGUGAAAUUACCCAAAAAUUGCCCCCUCUCCCGUGGUUGUACUGGCACUUGUUCAAUAUACAAUUCAAUUUCGUCCAUUCCAAAUGUGUUAACCAAUUUCAACAUUUGAGAUAAACUAUUAUCAUCCCAUAUUGGACAAGGUUGAAACCUAUUUUCCCUUUUUAAAGGAUAUCUAUAGUUGAGGACUAAUUGAAAUUGUUUUUUGGCAAUGCCAGUUCUCGAGUAUAUCAUAGAUAACAAGUGUUCAUAGGUUGAACUAACAGGCACAUCCAAAGGCACAAUUAUAACUAGAUCCCCAAUAUACUUUACAUAUGUUUUUGUCCUCAACACUUUUCCUUUACAAAAGCAAAUCACAGGAACAAUAGAUUUAGACAUGAUUUACCUACAAAAAAUACAAUAUCAAAUGGUUUAAUAAUCAAUAAAAAUAAUAGCAAGAGAAAUUGCAUAUAAUAUUUUAACAUGUGAAUACACAAUUAUAUAAUAAAACACAUUUUUACACAUUAGGAGGAAAAAUAUAAAUCACUUCAUAAUAAUAAUUUUUUUAUUUAAAUAGUUAUCUAUGAUACAAAUAUAAUGAUAGAUAAAUGUUUUAUAGAAUUUUAAUUUAAAACUUAGGUAGUGGGCUAUAAAUCAAUAAAUGUUGAGUUAAAAAAUUACAAUAAUCUUAAAAUUAAAUAAAAAAUAAUCCACCAAUUUUUUUUAUUAUAAAAUAUCAUAUAUUAAAAUAAAAUUGAAUGUUAUGAACUAUUAAAUAAUAUAUAAUUUAAAUAAUUAUGUUAUUAUUCAUGAAUCAAUUGAUAUUUGAUUAAAGCUAAAAGUCGAAAAAAAAAUAAAAAUAAAAAUCAAAUAAAAGUAACUGACCAAAAAAAAAUAUAUUAAUAAAAUAUCAAUUACACAAUUAUAAAAUUUUGAUAUAUGUGUUUAUUCUGUUUUUGGAAAGCUAGGUCCCUUCUUUUGACUAGUUUCAUUGAUCAGGAGCUGUCUAGAUGAGAAAUUGUGUGUGAAGAUGAAUCAAUAACCUAGGAUAAAUCAACAAUUUCAUAUGAAUUACCAAAUUGCAGAUCUAAAACAGGGGACAACAUGGGAUAUGGGAAGCAUGACCUCAAAAAGAUAGUAGAACCAAGGAUGAGACAUCAGUUUUCAUGGAUAUAUCGGUAGUUGGAUUUUACGAAUAUACUAGGAUAUAUCGGGAAAUAUCAGUGGAAAUUUUGACAAAUAAAUCGAUGGAAGAAAUUUUGAGGAAAAAAAAAAGAAAAAACAAGAAAUAAUACGCAUAUUCAAGUUAUUACUUUUAAAUUAUAUAUAUAUUAUUUCUAAUAUUCGAUAAUAAAUUAAUAAUAUAUAGAACUUGAAAACACAUUUUACAUUGAUAUAUCUAAAAGAUACAAAAGAAAUGAUGAUAUAUGUAUGAUUUUCAAAAUAUUUGUAAUUUUUUUUUUCUAUUAAGUUUAAUUAAUAAAAAAAAUAUGAACAAAGACUCAUUAAAAAAUUUAUGAUAAUCAUUUUUAUAUUUUUAAUACUUAAAUCAAAUUUGGAAAUAAGAUAAUUAAAAUUAAAUUAUUUAUUAGAUGUUUAUUUUAAUAUCUUAUGUAUGAUAAAAAUGUAUUAAAAAUAUAUUUGUCUCCAAAAUUUUUUUAUUUUUUUUAUUAAAAUGAGAAAAAUAAAAAUUUGUGUGUGUGCAUAUAUAUAUUUAUUAACAAUUGUAAAACAAAAAUCACAUUAGUCCCACUGGUCAUGAACUCUUUUGCCAUGUAUAAGAACAAGGGGGUUUGAGUUUUUAAUAUGGUUUUCCCAAAAUUUAAAUUGUUUAUGUUGUCUACCAUAUGAAGUAAUAGCCAUCUGGAGUGGCAACAAAAAGGUCAAGAUCAGAUUCUGAUGGCUAGGAUAAAGGCCUUGAACCCACCUUAAUAAUAGCAACCAUUACUUUGUUUUCUUGUACACACUUUCCUCUCUAAAUACAAGGCAAAAAAAAAAAAAAAAAUUGUUUAAAUGAAGGGCUCUCAUUUUUUCUUCUUCAAACUUGGCAACUUCCAUACAUAUCAAGAAGAGAACUAUUAGGCAAAUCCUAAGUGGAAGGAAGUUAACAAAAGUUGAACUGUUACAAACUUAUACUAGAGGCCUUCUACUCCAAGUAUACUAAGCCUUUCAUUGUACCAUGUAUAUUGUGAAAAGAUCAUAAGCUUAAAGCUACUAUACUUUUUCUCUUUUUCACAUUAAUUACUUUUCUGCAUGGAAAAUGAAAGCAAAAGAGAAAAACAUGUCCCUUGACACUUUCCAUACCAAACAAUCCAUGGUCAGCGUUUUUGUCUAUUUUACUUGUAACUUUUAUGCACUGCACCUCAUUUACCAUUUUUGUAUUUCUCAAAAACUAGCUAGCUAGGUUCUGUUUGACAGCCUUUAAUUGGUAGGAAUAAACUUCUUUUUGAGAACCCAAAUAUAGAAGUUUUUUUUUUUGCUCGAGAUACUGUACACUUAUGAAAUAGUAUAAAAUUUUCCAACUUAUUCUCAUUAUUUUUAGAUUAUUUUUCAAAACACUCUACAAAAAAAAUAUGUGAAAAAUCCUUAAACUUAUUCAAACAAACCACUUUAUAUUUAGAAUAAAUUUUCAAAAGCUAUUUCCAGUCUACAACUUACUAAACAUUGAAAAACUAUUGUUGUUCUAAAAACAAAACUUUUUUAGAAAAUAGGCCCCCUAAAGGAUCCACAAGAUGAAUAGGGCAAAGAUCAGGGAGAUCAAUAAAAAAUGAUCAGACAGUGAGAUCUAUUAACAUAGUGCUCAAUCUAAACAACCUUGUUCACACAAAAAAAAAAAAAAAAUGGGUCUAGUUUUUUCAUGAGUUUUACAGUGGUAUGUAUUCAAAUUUCCAUGGAAUGUUUUUGACAGUGAGAAACGUAAGAUUGAACCCACAAGAAGGGAGAAAAACCAAGCUUUGAAGCUUACCUAUCCACAAAUACAGGAGAGCAACCUCAGAAGAAGAAGAAGAAGAAGAAGAAUAUGCUUGUACUAAAGCUUUUGAUUAAGGUUUAAUUUGGAAGAGAAUGGCAAAGAGAUUCUUGAGGUAAACCAAAACAGCAGCAGGAUAAGGAGAAGAAGAAAAAGAAGAAGAAGAAGCAGAAAGAAUAACUAAAAAGGAAGUUGAUCAUAAGCCCUGCCCUUCAUUCAAUUCAUCUAUUUCCCAUGCAAAUAUAUAUGAUGUAAGUCCGAAUAUUGGCUAAAAAUCUAGAAACACAGAUAAUAAAUUUAAAAAUUAUUUUUUACAUUGGGGAUUUCAAGUAAAAUUUUGAAAAUAACUGACAGAUAGUUUAAAAAAUUAUCCUCAAAAUUUGUUUUUUAUAACAAUUUUAAAAAACAGUACUAGACAAGUUCUAAUAAUUUCUUACUGAGUGGGAGAAUGAGAGAAAAUACAAAUAAAAUAAUUAAAAAUCUCAUAUAUACCAACUGAUGAAGGAUUGAAUGUUCUAGUUUUCAACUUUUCAUUAGUUCAAUAAAAUUACAAUAAAAUGAAUGAGAAUUUCUGCAGAUGCAAAGAAGAUAAUAGAUUUAACAAUAAAAAAUCAUUAAAUUAUGUUCAAUCAGAAUCUCACAGGAAGCUGAAUGGAAAAAAAAUCAAGUAUCACCAAACUAAAGAACUAUAUAAACAAAUCUCAAGGUUCCAGGAAGUGGAGAACUAAACAACAAAACAUUUUGCAUAUAUUUUGAGAAUGGGUUUAAGAUUCUUGUUCAGAUAUUUGAAGAUAUACCAUCUGAAUGGUCCCCUCACUCUUGGUAACAAAUAUUUGAAGAUAUUUUCUAUUUCUAUAACAAAAAUCACCAGAGUUUUUUUACAGUGGUCCCCUCCAUUUUUGGUAUCUUUAACAAAAAGAAAUCCAUACUAGUCCCCCAUUCCAUAUCCGUUUUCUUUACCAAAAAAACCAUUUUCUUUCUGCUAAGCUCAAAAUCAAAAUAAAAUCAAACAUGUCUUUACCAAACAGAAACCAAACAAAUCUACAACAACAAACCAAACAGAUUUACAAAAAAAUAAAAAAAAAAAUUUACGAUUAACUGAAAAAUUCAUAAAUCUUACCUGACAACGACUUCCAAAUUUUGAAUUUGAACCAAAGAUGCAACGGGAAGGAUGAAACCCUAAAAGGAAGAACGAAACCCUAAAGGGAAGAACAAAAGCCUAAAGGGAAGAAAGCCAAUUGGGGAAAUGGAGAAACCUAAUGGGAAAGGGAUGGAAAAGGAAUUCAAAACCGUAGUUACCAACUACGGUUUUGACCAAUUUAAAAAAAUUCAAAACCGUAGUUACCAACUACGAUUUUAUGAUGUGGCAUUCCACGUGGCCCAGACGCACUGGAUUGGGCAUUAUUUUCAUAUUUGGUUUAGUUUAUGCAUUUUUUUUUUUUAAAUGUGGCAUUUUGUGUCAAAGCUCACGAUCUCCAGCCAAAAUCCGGACGCUGUUGUACUGUCCGUACAUAGCAGCUAGAUGCAAAGCCGUGUUGCCUUGCUUAUCUGACUCAUUUAUUAGGCUUUCCCAUCUUGGUUCUUUUAGAGUAUACUUCAUCACUAUAGACUUCCCACAUUGGGCUGCAAUGUGAAGAAUGGUCCGACCUUUAUUGUCAACCAAAUUAUUAGCACAUGGACAACGUUUGAUGAUCUCUGCCAUCAUAUUAGGGUAGCCUUUUUUAGCUACUAUGUGAAGAGCAGAACUAUCUUCUUUAUCCCAUAAGUAAGCAACUGAUUUAUCACAUUCCAGCAAUUUCCUAGUUGCUUCAAGAUGUCCUAAUUGUGCAGCAUAAUGAAGGGGAGUCCACGUAAAUAUGUCUGUUUCUGUGACCAUAUCUUUCUUUUUGUCCAAUAGUAUUGCAAUAAUGUCAUCUAACAAUUUAGACCAAGAAGAAGAAAUAUAAUUAAAAUAGACUUUUUCAUCCAGAGUACUUUUAGAAAAUAUAUUACGUUCUAUUUAUUUUAAUAUCAGAUAACAGCUCGGGAUUACUUCCCCAUGAGAAGGAUCAGGCAUUAUGCAAUGAAUUUUCCCAUCAAUUGUAAAGAGGGUAGCUACUAGCCAGUGUGGCAUAUAUUGUAAAAGCAAUUGUGUGAUUUUCUUUCCCUGGUCUUACUACUUUUCUAGUUCAGUUAAGCUCUCCACCUAUCAAUUAGAGAAGCAGAAGUAAAGGUUUGGGCUUGGGUAAGUAUUCUUCAAAAACAAUUCUAAAAAAUAAUUUAUAAGAACUAUUGAAAAACAUUUUCUAAUGAUAUUUUAUAAAACAAAAGUUCUAAUGGUUGUAUUAUUAUGCUUGGUUGGAACUAAUGAAUACAAUUCUGGUGACUAUCUGUCAUAAGUAUAGGGAGGCCAUGCACUCCAUGUAGAUUUGUUCGGCGUCUGUCAAGAAUCAGGAAUCGGUUAAUGGGGCUCCGAAUGUUCUACUAGCCUUGCCAAAAAGUACUUCAUGAGGCUAAACUCAUCCACACUAAAGUGGUGUUUUUUCUUUUUUUUUACUUAAUUCUAAAUAGAACUUUAAUGCUUAAUAGCGUUAAGUAUUAAGUUAUUUAUUUUUAUAAUACUUUAUUUCUAUUAAGCAUUAAAAAGUAAAAAAAAAAAAAAAAAUCAACAUAUCACUUUUUCUAUUCAAUAAAAAGUUUAUAAUAAAUCAUGAAAAAAAAAAACAAAUGAUCUAAAGUCUGAAAGCAAAUUGCUUUUAGCAAAAAACUAAAAAAACGCUCUCUAAGUCUAUAGAUUUAUGUAUUCUUGGCUUUGUAUAUCUUAGACAUGUUGGAUAAUGGUGUAACAAAGAUUUCUCCAUUUUUUUCUUAUGCAUUUUCUUCUACAAUAUUUUUGAAGCAUCCCGUUGUAGGGAUAUUUACACAUAGUGCAAUUUUGCUUUAUUUUUGUUGGCAACUUCUUCUCUCUGUUGUAUUAUUCCAAGUACCUUAUGUUAUGUCUGACUCUAAAAAAUUAUUAAAUGAAGGAAAAAUAUCAAGAAACUUAUUAUUAUUAUUAUGUUUAGUUUAUCAAAAAUUAUUAAAGGAAGGAAAAAAUUGUUAAAAAAAUAAUUUUUAUUAUAAAAAAAAUUAGAAAAAUAAAUACAAUUAAAAUAGGUUAAAAAAAUUAUAUAUUUCCAAAUUAUUUUACAUUUGUGUAAAAAGGAAGAAAAAAAAAUGAGAAAAAUGAAUUUGAAAAAAUAUUAUUAAUAAUUUUUUAACUUUCAAUUAUUUUUCAUCUUCCUUUAUAUUUGUUUAUGUUUUCCUUGUCUAGUAUAUUCCUUCAAAAUUUUUAAGAAUCAAACAUGUGGGUUGCAGACUGGUUCGCUGGCCUGCUGGCCUGCUUGCCUGGUCCAAGCAUGAAGUUGGGUUGACCUCUAAUGGUCCCUUGGUGGACCAACCCACCAACCUAACCAAACGAAGGUUGCUACCUUGGAUCAAGUGUCUAGGAUUUGAGUAAUAUCUUCUCCUGGGUUAUUAAAUUUUUAUUAGUUUUCAACGGUUUUCUAUUUGUAAUGAUUAAAUUUUUAUUGUAAAAAUGGCUCAUAAAAACGUUGAUUAUCCUAUAACAAUGUUCCAGAAGCAAGAGAUUAUUUACCAUAGCUUUGAACCGUUAAUUUUGAAUAUCGAAAUAAGUGGAAAUAGAAAUAAAUACUAUUAUUAUGUUUAACUUUAUGAAAAUUGUUGUAAAUGAAGUGGUGAAUGACCACAUUAAUGGUCAUUUAUGAACUCCAUUUACUCAUUUUUAAGAUGAGUAAUGGGAGUUCAUAUUAUGAAGCCUAUAAAAGGCUUUUUACACCCCAUGUAAGCAGCAUCCCAAAAAAAAGAAAGAAAUUCUCUUCCUCUCAUUCUCUCUCUCUCUUUCUUUCAUUCUCUCAAUUUUCUCAACUCUCUUCUCUGAUUCCUUCUUCCCAUUAUAUAUAUUGUUAAAGUAAGAUAUAUUUUAUCUCUACUACUUUAUUUGUGUUGCAUUUAUCCUUGUUUUACAACAAAAAUUAUAUUUUAGAAUUAUUUUUAUAAAAAUUAUGGUGAAUAUUUGAAGGCACCCAAAGCAUAUUAACUUGUUCUUAAUAAAGAUAAGACCAUAUUGAAUGUUUUGAUAUUGGUUUAUGAAACUACUUAGAGGAGAGUGAAUAGGCGGUCCUCUGCUUACAACCCUCAAAUUGAAGUUUUAAAUAUUUUUAUUAAUUAUUAAUUUAAUCAAUAUAUGUAAUUAAUAAAUAAAGCAAAGAAUAAUCUUACACUUGACAUGUGAUGUACUUGGAAAAUCAUCUACAGAAUCUAUAAAAAACACUUGACGAUGAAAAAUUCAUGGGUCAAUUGAUCGUAGAGCAAAUUCACUAAUUUUGAUAGAAUAAAUACAUGAUCUUACCUAGAUGAAAUACUAUCUUCCUUCAAGCAUCUUACACAGGUCAGUACUUACACUUGCUUUCAUGUUCAUGAUGCAAAACCCAUGUAUUCCUUAGUGAAUACCUUAAAACUUUAAGAGAUGUGAUCAACCACCAUGAGCAACUUCAAACAAGAUAUGAGCUUUUGGAGUAUCAGGAAUAUGCAAAAGAUAAUAACAAUAAAUUGUAGGGUACGAUGAUGUAUGAAAGUACAAAGUUGAGCAAUGUAUGAUGGCAAAAAACUAACUAAAAAAGAUUUGAAAAGCUGACAAAUCUAGGAUAUUUAUGCAUAACAUCAAGACCGCUUAAGCCCAUUUUGUGGGCACUCGAGCGCUCCUUGUUAAUUUUAGCUUUUCUAAUUUAGCUUCAAGCCCAUUUUGAAUCUAAGUCCACUUUACACCUUAUGCAUGUCAUUAUAUUGUGAACAAGAUAACCCUACUUACCUGAACAAUCAUGUGAAUGAAUAAAAAAUGAUCACAUAUCUUCAAGGCCAAUGCAUACGUAGAGUUGAGUAAAAAAAAUAUUUGGAAUAAAAUUGUUAACUUAAACUAAUUAGUCUAGAUCACUAACACAAAUAAUAUCAAAUUUAGUUAAAAUACAAAUACACCUUCCCAUGAGCAACAUUAUUAUGUUUUACCUUCUUCAUCUUUUACAAGUUUUUAGUUAUAGAAAUAAUGAGAUUAAAAAAUUGAAGGGUAAAUUGCUCCGAUGACUAACUUGAGUGCCUUGGGGCAAUUUUUCUUUGCUUUACAUAUCUCAUAUACCUUAUUAUUGGGAGAUUAUUAAAGAUCGAAUCACAAUAGGACCAAUCCUAAAAUAAAUUCCCCAAAAUCAUUGAUAUUUGAGGCUAUGUAAUUUUUUUGCUCCAACAAGUUUAAUAUUUUGAAUAAGUUUAUCAUACAUGCAUGGAUGUACUUCAUUCUACUACUUGACUAGGGUAGCAAUCAAAAUAGAAGCAAACCUAAAAUCAAUGCUCUAAUAACGUUAAUGUUUGGAGCUUCAUAAUUUUUUUGCUCCAAUAAUUUUGAUAUUUUAGACAAAAUUAUUUUACAUGGAUCGACUUGCUUCUUUAUGUUUAAGUAAAGGGGGAGUUUUUCUUGCCUAAAUCUUGACACUUAAAGAUACUAAUAUUUGUGUUUUGAACAUGAGAUAAGGGACAAAUCACUAUCUUUAACUUGAAUUUAUGUUAAUGCAUGCUUUGAGAACUAAUACGCCAUCUUUUUUUUUUUUAGUAUAAAAGCAUAAGAAGGGAGGAAAUGUAAGCAACUUGAUGUAAUUCUAGCAUUUGGGAUGGAAUGGAGGAGCAAAUAUGCAGCAAGAUGAGCCCUAGUGCUUGCUAAAGUAAAUAAAUAAAUAAUAAAAGCGAAAAGGCAAAAGAAAACUACAAAGGCAUUCUAAAUUGGUUUAGGAGUAGCUAAAAGUGAUUUGGAGAAGCCAAAAUAGAUUUCAAAAGGUUAUUUAAUCAAUGUUAAAACCAAUUUGUGAAUGAGAAUUGUCAUAUUAAUGGAGUCUCACAUCAUAAAAGCGAUUUAGAGGAGGCUGAAAUCGAAAUUCCAAUCUUAGGUUAAAAGUUAAAAUUGGUUUCCAUAUUGAAAUUUUGAUUUCAUCUUGUUGAAAUCAGUUUUUCCAAAAUUUACUGCAUAUGUCAAAUCAAAAUUUCACACUUUGGUUAAUUUGGUAUCAAAAUCUAGAUUUUAGGCAAUUUUGAUGUAAUUUCAACUAAUUAAGUUAUACGUUUGCUAUGGUGGCCAAUGAGAUUAGGCCAAGUGCCUUUUUAGGGUUAAGAUAUUUAUAUUUUCAUUUUUUUUUCAAGGUUACAAAGAGAACAUUUUUACAAUUUUGUUUGUAGUCACACUUUCUAAACUUUUGUUUCUUUCUUUUUAUUAAUAUCCCAUUUUUUUUCUUAUGGAAUUUGGGUGUGAAAUCUCAAUAUAAGAGAUUAAGAUCUUUAAUUUUGGAGAUGUAGCAUGAAGAUACAUGGAAGAUUUGGACAAGGAGCAUAAGAAAAGUAAUGUCAGAUUAAUUGAUCAUUAGGUUUUCAUGUUUACCUUAUUAGAAUGAGAUCAUCUAUGAAAUUAUGGUUAGACUAAGAUCCUAGUGAUACUUCUAAAACCAUUUGAUCACUAGUUAACAUAAUUUGAUAUACUAUCAUGAUUGAAUUGAAAAUUGAUUGUACAAGAUAGAUGAGUGGUACGAAUGUAUAAACAUAAACCUCAAUUAACCAAUCUAUAUUAUUUAUUUUAGUGAAUCAUGUAAAAAGAGUAUAAAUGUCUUAAAAUUCAAUUUGAUCCCACAUUGACUUUGGUCCUAAACCCUAGAUCUAUGAUUUACUCUCUCUCUCUCUCCUUCUCUUCUUAUGAAUUUGAAGCUAAAUUUUGAAAGCUCCAGAGUUGUUAUCAUAGAUUUGUCUUAAUCAAUUUAAUCUAAAUUCGGUCUUUUUAGAAAAAUUUAUCAAUUAAAUUCACAAUUUUGGGUAUAAGAAUACUUUGUUCAAUACAUAAAUAGUCAAAUGUGUUAGUCUUUAAAGGAUGACAUCUAGAUACCAUACACCAUAACUAUCCUCUCUUUGUUUUUUCUUGGCUAUGAUUUCUAUAAUAAUAAAGAUUUUCGUUCUAAAACAAAGAGUAUCGAUAAAAAAAAAAAGUGUCAUUUUUGUUAGAGAUUGACGACUAUUUUGAAUUGAUAGAUUGUCUUAGUUUUUAGGAGCUUAGAGCUUGUUUUACAAUGUGAUUUAAAAAUAGCUUUCUAUUUUUCUAAAAAAAAAUGACUUCUAAAAUUUAAUAGCAUUGUUUAGCAAUUGUUCUCUAGAAAUAGUUCAAAAAAAAAAAAUGAACGUUCUCUUCACUUGCUUUUAAAUACAAUAAGAGAACAUAGAGAAAUAAGAAUAAUAAUAAUUAAAAAAAAUGAUAAUAUAAGAUUGUGGACCCCGCACUUCUGCACAUGCGUUCCACUCGAUGACGAAACUAGUUGUUUUUAUUUGUUUGGUGAAAUUUUGAUUUUUAGAAAAGACUUGGAGUCACCACUUAUUUUUGUUUUAUUUUUAAGGGAAAAAAAAAUAAGAAAGAAAACUCUAAGUGUGACUCCUUAUUUGGAAAAGACAGUCUAUGGAAAACCAAACUUGGGUUUGGGGGUCAAGUUACUUAUUGGGAAGGUAUGGUAAAGACCAUAACACCCCUCCAAACCCCUAAAAAUGAGUCUCUACUAAAUAAGGUGAAGCAAACGUGGAAAUUGACAAGGAAAUUGUUAGCCCAAGGGUUCUCCUAAUCGGGUUUUGAUGGUAACAAACCAUGGUUAAGUUACUAAUUGGUUUAAAUGUUUAAGAAUCUCAGGUAUAAACUUGAAAAUUCAUCAAAGAACCAAAUGGAUAAAAGAUCGAGUCGCUUGGAAGACUUGUGAUCAUAGGAAACUAAUGUAAGAUGAAUGCAUGAGUGCACUUAGGAUUUUCAUACGUUUCAUGCACCUUAGAAAACUCGGUUUAUUCUUUAAAAUGUCGGUUUCAUUAAAACCUGAGUUUUUAACUAAUUUACCUUAGGCAAAAUGUUUCAAAAUUGGCUUAAUAAUUUACCUAAAGACCUUGCCUAAGUGUUAGAAAAAAAAAAGGAAUAAAAAAAUAGGUUUUUCGGGGCUAAAAAGGCUCAACCGGUCGAGGCUAUGGCCAACCGGUCAACCGGUUAAGGAACCGGUCGAUCGGUUGAGGUCGUCUGGUCGAGGACCGGUCGAGAAAGGUAAAAAACCUUCUCUCUCUCCCAAUAGCCUUCUCUUCCUGGUCGAGGUGAUUCCCUUACCGGUCGAGGUCCGGUCGAGGUCCAGUCAAGGACCGGUCGAGGUCCGGUUGAGGCAACGGUAACCUGUCAUGCAUUAAAUGCUCCAACGGCUAGUGAACCGGUCAACCCCCAGCUAGACCGGACGAGGUUGCCUUUUGCUGUUUUUGACUCCCGAGCUUAGAAACCUAUAAAUUGAGAGCUCCACUUCAUUUAUUGACAAGAGAACACUUACAUUCAAAGCCCACCUACCUGUUCUUGAUCAAAAAGCUCUCAUUUAUUUCAUAGUGCAUUAAAUUACCACUUGCAUAUCCUUUAGUGCACUCUUGUUUGUCAUCCUAGCUUUGUCUUGUAUUUGAGCCAUCUUUAAGCUAGGUUGAGUGAUUAUAUCUUGUAACAAUCCGAGUGUUAAAGCCUUUAAGAGGGUUGAAUCUUGAAGAGGUUGUGUAAGAGCCCAUUGGAUCCGGAAUCUAAGUGUAAGAAGAUUGGAAGCUUGGUUGAAGCUUCAAGUUAGUGGAACCCUCACUCGGUUAGAAGGUUGAGGAGAGUGGACGUAGGCAAGGAAGUGUCGAACCACUAUAAACCCAAGUUUGAAUUCUCUAAACUCUAUCUCUUUACUUUGUUCAUAUUUUGUUUAAAUUUGUUGUGAUUGAAAAGAUUUUAAAAACCCAAUUCACCCCCCAUUUUGGGUGUUUUUCUUAACUAAGCAUAACCUUUGUUUUCUCAGAAAUCAAUAGAUACCAAUAAAAUGAUCGAAUAAUAAAACAAAUUGAGCAUGAGAAUGAAUAAAUAAAUGAAGUAGGAGUGAGAGCGUACCUUAGCAGCAAAUAAUAGUGCACUAUCAUGGAAAAAAGGUUAGCUCAAGUACAAAAUUUAUCGCAUGCAUAUCAAAGAGCAAGACAAAGAUCAAGCAAUAUUCAUUAAGGUGUGGCUCCUAUAGAGGUGCAAAAAGAAGUUUGAUAAGCCCACAAUGCAAACAAAAGCUUCUCUGACCAAUCCCGAGAAGUCUCAAUCAUCCUCUGCAAGAUCCUCUUAAUAUUCUUAUUCACAUCCUCUACCACUUCGUUAGUCUGCGGCCUGUACGCAGACAAUCUAUGAUGCUGGAUAUCGUAUCUCUGUAAUAAAGUGUCAACAUCUGCUCUGAAAUGUACAUCUCUGCUCAAAAUCAGCUUAUGAGGGACUUCAUAGCGACAAAUAAUGUGUGAUCUGAUGAAACUAGUGACCUCAAAUGAUUUCAAUCUCGCAUAUGAAGCAGCCUCCACCCACUUGGUAAAGUAAUCAAUGACGACCAAGAUGAACUCAUGACUAUUGGAAGACUUUGGCGAAAUCUUCCCAAUAAUGUUUAUACCUCAUACUGAAAAUGGUCAUGGUGAAUUCAGUGCAUGUAACUCUAAAAGGGGUACGUAGAUAAGGUCUCUAUGAAUCUAGCACUCUCGACAUCUUUAAACAAACUGGCAAUAAUCUGUCUUCAUAGUCAACCAGAAAUAGUCGGUCUUCAUGACCUUACAAGCUAAUAUAUGUCCUCCCAUAAGUGGUCCACAAACUCCCACAUGAACCUCUCUCAUCACUCAAUCGGUAGAGGCGUGGUGAAAACACAAUAGUAACAUCCCAUCAACUGAUUGUUUGUACAAUGUCUCCCCACGGAUCACAAAACGGGUGGUUAACUAUCUCAAUUCUCUCUUAUCAUUGGUUGUGGCGACCUCAGGAUAUAUGUCAAGUCUCAAAAACUGAUAUAUGUCAUGGCACCAAGGCAAACCAUCAUCCAAAUCUGCCUCAUUAAUCAAGCAACAAUAGGUAGGAACUGAUCUCGACUCAAUCAGUAAAGGGCGAACAACAGUAUCAACGGGAAUAUCAAUCAUGGAAGCUAAAAUAGCUAAGGCAUCAGCAAACUGGUUUUGUGCUCUAGGCAGAUGAGUAUAACUCAAAUCAUCAAAUCUCCCAACCACUAUCUCUAAGUAUGCAUGGUAAGGCUUAAGUUUCACAUCUUUAGUCUUCCAAUGGCCUUGAAUCUAUCUCAAUACCAGAUUGGAGUCACUAAACACCUCCAUCUGUCUAAUCCCGAGCUUAAGAGUUGUCUCUAAUCCCAAGAUACAAGCCUCAUACUCAACAAUAUUGUUCAUGGCAAGGUGUCGACCAAAGAAUGCCAAACGAACAAAUCUAGGAAUGUGGUCACCGUGAUGGGAUAUUAGUAGAACACCUAUCCCGUAUCCAGAAUUGUUGGCCGCACCAUCAAAGUAGUCACUGCAGCGAUAUCCUCAUCUAGAAAGUCAUCAUCAAUAGCUCUACCAUCAGAAAAAACUAGUAAUGAGGCUAAGUGAUCUACAACAAUGCUCCAUCUGAUAGACUUUUGAGUGACAUAAUGAAUAUCAAACUCAAUCAGGAGUACCAACCAUCUCAUGAGUCGAUCAAUCAAAGCAAGCCUGUCAAACAAAUAUCUCAGAGGAUCUAGACAAGAUAUCAAGUGCACUGAAUACUCCGUCAUGUAAUGUCUCAAUCUCUUAGUAGCCCAAACCAACGCCAAACAGAAGCGUUCAAUCAUGACAUAUCUUGUCUCAUAAUCAAGCAUCCUCUUACUCAAAUAAUAAAUAGCUCGCUCAUUUCCAGAAUCAUUGAGCUGAGCUAGCAUGCAUCCCAAGGCUAUAUCUAAGACUAACAAGUAUAGGAAUAAGGGACGACCUGGUGUAGGAGGCACCAAGAUUAGAGGCGAAAACAAGUACUCCAUGAUCCUCUCAAAUGCACGCUGACACUCAUCAUCCCAAACAGGAGGUCGACUCUUCCUCAAGAGUAAAAAAAUGGGCUCGCAGAUAUCUGUCAAUCUGGCGAUGAAUCUACUAAUCUAGAGUCUACCUAAAAAACCUUUGAUCUCUCUCUCAGUCCUCGGCGCAGGCAUGUCAAGGAUGGCUCUGAUCUUAUCUGGAUCUAUUUCUAUGCCUCUCUCACUGACCAUGUAUCCCAGAAGUCACUCCAAAAGUGCACUUCUUGGGAUUCAGUCCUAAUCUGAACUGUCUGAUCAUAUCAAAGAAUCUCUUUAAAGCUACUAGGUGAUCUACUCUAUCUUGGGAUUUCACUAUCAUGUCGUCUACAUAGACCUCGACAUCCCGAUGCAUCAUGUCAGGGAAAAGGAUAGUCGCUGCUCUUUGAUAAGUAGCUUCUGCAUUCUUCAACCCAAAUGGCAUAAGUAGCAGUAAGUACCCCACUCAGUAAUCAAAGACGACUUCUCCAUGUCCUUUAGAGCCAUCAUAAUCUGACUGUACCCAAAAAAUCCGUCCAUAAAGGACAACAUCGAAUGACCUUUUGUACUAUCAACUAGCAUGUCAAUGUGUGGGAGAGAAAAAUCAUCCUUGGAAUUGAUCUUGUUGAGAUCUCAAAAAUCAACGCAGACUCUCACCUUGCCAUCCUUUUUGGGAAUAGGGACGACAUUGGCCAACCACUCAGGAUACUCAACCACUGAUAAGAAUCCCACACUAAGUUGCUUCUGAAUUUCUUCUUUCACCUGCAGACUCCAACGAGGAUGCAAUCACCUUAACUUCUGCUUAAUCGGUUUAGCAAGGGGCAGUAGUGGCAAGUAAUGCUGGACUAUGGAUAGAUCAAGGCUAGAUAUGUCCUCAUAAGACUCUGCAAGUGAUGUUGGACUAUGGAUGGAUCAAGGCCAGACAUGUCCUCAUAAGACCAUGCAAAGACAUCCAAAUAUGAUAUGAGUAACUGGACAAGGCCACCACUCUCAUCUGUAAACAAAUCCAAUCCAAUCCUCAGCUCCCUAGGAUGGUCUUUUGUGCCAAAAUCAACAAUCUCAACGUCUCCUGUGGUAGGUGAAACUCUCUGAUCACUAGGACUCAAAUUAGAAGCAGAAGAAGAGUCUGCAUCUGAAUCGUGAUGUACAAUCUCAUCAUCUAUAUCAAAUAUUUGUGAUGUGGGUGAAUGAGGUGCAGAUAAAGUGUUAUCACAAGAAAUAGGAAAAUACUCAAAAAGACUCAUAUCCAUAUAUGAAGAAAGAGUCAGUAGAUCAUCAGAAUGGGAGACAAACCCAGACAACAUAUCAGAAGAAAGUGGUGGGUCCACAUGUUUGGACUCUACCAUGACUGGGCUAUUCACACCCAUAAAUACAUCAUCAUUAACUAUAUCAUCCUCUGAAAACUCCAGAGUAGGAGCAAUCUGGGUCUCCUCAGCAACCUCCAUGGCGGACACCCCAAAUAGAUCAAAUGGAGAAGCAAACUCAGGUUGGACUAUCCCAUCAAUCUGACUCAUACUCAUCGCGAGCAUCUCAUCAAUGUAUUUGUCGUGUGGAACAACUCCAUCCACCAUGUCCCUAAUCUCAGCAAAUGUCCCAUGCUCGUCGACCUCAUCCGAGAAAUAGAGUGUCAUGAGGCUCAUAUGAUCUGGAGAUGAUGGGGUGGCUAAUGCAGAAGCAGAAGUGCCAGGAGCUCCAUCACUCAACCGUAGCUGAUGAACAAGACGCUGAAGCUCAACCUCUUGAAUAGUGUUGAAUCCAUCAAUAAUCCCACUUGAAUGCGUCUAUGGCUUCGAUGCCCUCACAAAGUAGUCCGCCAAGCUCAUGUUGUAUGAGCAAAUAGGAUAGUCAAAUGGUGUGUGAGUCAAUCGGGCUCUCACUCUCUCCUUGCGCAAUCACAACAUAUAUCAAUAAUCGGCCUCAAUAGGAAUAAACCUAACUCCAAAUGGUACAUCAUGAUCAACGAUAGUUAUAAGCUCAUUGGGCCCAUGUUGACGUCGCCCUAAUCCCAUGCUCGGCAGAAAAGACAUGCUCCUCAUCAUGUCAAGCACCACUAUACUACCGUGCUGAUCAAAUGACAUAGCCACAAAGUCCCUACAAAAAUCCUCAAUCUCCAGAGUCUACACAUCAUCAAAUGUGAACCCAGUAAAAAACAAAUCAUCCUCAUUGUGACUAAUCUGAAGCAUUGGCUUGGAAGAAGCAAACAUAUCUCCAAUAGACUGCACCGUGAUGACCUAGCCAUCAUGAAUGAACUUCACCUUCUGAUAAAGGGAAGAAGGAAUGGCCCCAGCUCUAUGAAUCCAAGGUCGGCCAAUAGUAGGUUAAAAGAUGUAGAAAUCCUCAAAACCUGGAAUAGAGUAGGAAAUGUAGUCGGACCUAUCAAUAGCUCGAUCUCCAAAGUGCCCAUGACCUCCCUCUUAAUGCUAUCAUAUGCUCUGACUUUCUGAGUAGAGGGACCAAAGUUUGAGGACGCAUAGCCGAGGGCAAUGACAUAAGCUAAGGGAUAGACGUUCAAGGUUGGGCCAUCGUCCAAAAUGACAUAUGGGACUCGGUGGCCUGAAAAACCAACUGAGAUGUAUAGAGGACAUGUAUAGUUUGAACCCUCGAGUGGCAAAUCAUCAUCUAAAAAUAUAAUGCAAGUGGCUCUGCUAGCCGUCAUCAUGUGAAUCAACCCCUCGAGAAUAGUGGUAGUCUCUGAUUACUACUCAAAAAGUGCUAUUUGAUAGCCUUUAAUUAAUCCUUUUUAACACUUUUGAGUAGUAGUUUAGGCCUUUUAACUCAAUUGGCAUGUUAAUGAUCCUUUAAAGCAAUUUUGAUCACUUUGUGUAAGUUUUGGUGUUUUUGUUAGUAUUUUGAUCACCAAAGCAAGUCAAGACUGAGGAGAGCUAUGAGGAAUCGUGGGCAAAGCUUAGAAUCCAAUUGCCAAGAGUGAAUCCAGAUUGCAAGGAGAAAAAGCAAAGAGAAUCUGCCAUGAAGCCUAUUCUUGAUGACAGUUGUAGCAGCCACUUUUUGAGCACUUUCUGAAGUCCAAAUGAUACAUGCUAUAUACCAUUUCAAAGCUCAGGAAGUCAACAAUCCAAUGCUUCAAACGGUGCGCGAUUCGGAGUUGAAACGAAGAAGUUGCAGCCAUUACAAGUCAAUCACUCUAAAGUGUUGCGGAAUCAGCCUUUUGUUGCGAGAAUUUCGCAGCACUUUUGUACAGUAAGGUGUUUCUCCUUCUGACGAUGCACGAACCAUGCCGCGAGAAGGGAGCUGGAAACCUCAAGGUGGAAGCCAACUUCGCAGCCCUGUGAAGAUAGCUCGGUCUUGCAAAAUAAUUUCGCAGCCCUCUUGGAUGUCUGCGAAAUUUCGCAGACACCAUUUUACUCCUACGAAAUGGCUCCUGAAGCCUCCCGAAGCUUGCUACCGACAUUGGGAGAUAUUUUCCAUUAGAUUUUUGUUGUCUAAAUCCCAAAAUACUCCUUGUAAACCACCAAUUACAUGAUUCCUUAGUUUUUAAGUUAGUAAAAAGACCAAAUAUCUUGGUAACAAUUAGUUUUAUAUUGUUUUGAUAUAUAUACCUCUCGGGAGCCUGUUCUCAUAGAGGAGUUCCUUCUGUAACCAUUUGGUAAGGAAGUAAAGGUCUUUUCUUUCUACUGCCUUACCUUCUCACUUUGUAUUUUCAUUUUCUUACUAAGUUAUGAAUUCUCUGAGGAGUUUUCCCCAGAGAAUGAGUAACUAAACCUCCAAUUCCUUGGAGCUAAGGUUGCCAGGGAAGGUUCCAAAUGCAAGAAUGCAAAGCUCUGUGGUUUUAGCUAAUAAUGAAGAGGAAGUGAAAUCCUUUAGUGAUUUCAAUGUUUUUAGUUAACUUAAAACACCUUGGAGUCACCUAGGCCAACACUUGGUAAGGCAAGUGAUUUCCAACCAUGGAAAUGCACUAGUUUACCCCUUGCGAGCCUCUGGUAGGUGACUUUAAGGUAGGAUUUUCUGGAAUUACCAACACUUGGUAAGCUUUUGGACUCUUAGGAGACAUCCAUUAGUUAUCUCUUGCGAGUUUGUGAAGGGAAGUCCAAGGUUAAAGAUCACCUUGAAUGGUAAGUGCUCGUGAGAGGCAUGAACCAUUGCAAGUUGCAUCAGUGAGAGAAUUAAAGUGAAAUCUAAUUGAAGGAGUCUCUAUACAUCACCGGUUAGAGAAUUAACUAUAAGUUGAAUCUUUAAUGCGAGGAAAUGAACCAUCUGACCGGAGCUAUGUCUUUUGCAUGAGGAACCACCCCAGUGAACCUAAAUCUCCAAGGAAUGCUUUUCUUCCUAAAUUAUUCCAAACUUCUGUUAAGUUAGUUAGUUUAAAUCUCAACCUUUACAAAUCAAAGUUUGUGUUUUAUUUCUUAAGCUAACCGUGAAAUGAAACAAGACCAAUUCACUUGGAAUUGGUAUCAUUGAUUGCUUGCAAAUCAUUCCCAGUGAACGAUCCUAGAGCCACUAUACUAUAGUAGCUUUUUAUUUGCUACCCUAGUGUAUGGUGUUAUAGGUAUAAAUUUUGUUGAUCACUUCCUCAAUCAAGGAGCACCAGCUGAACACAAAUCAGCUGAGACACCAAUUGGGCAUGAAUCAGUCUCGACUCUAAUCUAACUCAAGGAUCAAAUCAAUGCAUCUUUAUGAGUGCUAGAAGAUGCCAAUAAGCUCCAAAUAGAUAUACAAGUCUGGGUACUCUACAACUGUCUCAGAAUAUCAUCAUCAUCUCUCCUGACCUCCUCAUGAGAGGCUGCACCCUCCAAGGGUCUAGCGGUUAUGAGGGGUUGUUGUCAUACUACCUUACCUCUGUGAAUAACAUAUUAUAUAUCUGGAGUAUGAACAUCAUCAACAUAUGGAGUAUGUACCUCAUCAACGUCUGGAAUCAAAACAAACGGAGUCUGAACACUAUUACAUGGAAAAAUCAAUGGCUCGACUAUAGUCGACUGUACUGAUGUCACAUCGGGAACCAAUCUGAAUAGUGUGGGCAUCCAUGGGCCCAAGGUCAUUCUACCUACCUCAUAAAUCCCAUCUACUACUAUAAGCUCUAGCACUGACUCAUCCCAACUCAGCAUGUGGAUAUGAUCUUAUGGCUUAGUGAAAUCCAUGAAAUGUAUACCGUUGGCUAGCAGAGAUACUGCAUGUGAAGUAUAAGCUGGCAGAGGGUUAGUGGUUACACUUGGCUAACCCAAGUGAACCAAACCCUAAUCUAUCAAGUCCUCGAUGGCGUGCCUCAAAGCAGUGCAAUGGUCCGUGUCAUGCCUUAGACCUUAAUGGUAAGAACAAUGUAAAUCCAUCCUGAAGCGAUGUGGCAUGAGUUGAGGUAUAUGCCAAGGAGCUAACUGAGUCAACAAACCACCCUCCAUGAGCUUCUAGAAAGCUCGGUUCAAAGGCAUACCUAGCUGGGAGAACUAUUGUGUCAACCUUUGUACAAAAGAAAUAAUAGUCUGUGGGGCUCGGGGCUGAGGGUAUAAAGUAGGAGGUCUCUCUAUGACAUGUGCAACAAAAACAGGUUAUGAGACCGGAUGUAGAUAAGUAUGAGUCAUAGGUUUGGAGGAAACAGGUGGCCUAUACUGCACAUGAGGUGGUGAUGGGUAGUAGAAUCCAAAAGGCUGCCCAACUGUCUGAUAGUAUCUAGAAGGUCUCAACCCUGUUGAACUGAUAGCACUCACAUCUUUUAGUCUCUGUUCUCCUAAAGGCUUCUUUCCCUAAGAGUUAGUAGGGGAAGACUCGGACCAUAAUCCUCUAGUUAUGUCCUCCUCUAUACCAUAUAAAUCCUGUACCAAAGAUCCAAAAUCCGUAUGAGGAAAUCCCAUCAAGUGCCUAGCAAAUCAAGGCUGCAAGCUCCUCAUGAUCAUACUAAUCUGAUCAUUCUCUGAAGGAUGAUCAAUAACCUGUGAAAUCUUCUCUCUUUAGCGGGAGAUAAAUGAGGUGACUGACUCCUCUAGCCUUUAUCUCAAAGUCUCAACUCUCUCCUCAAAACAUCAAUGACAAUGUUAAAUGCAAACUGUCUCAAGAACUUCUAGGCCAAAUCAUCCCAAGUUCGGCGGCAUGAUACAUCCAAUGAAGCAAACCAACGUUGUGCCACACCACUCAGGGAUAUAGGAAAAAACAUAACCAUCUGGGCCUCAUCCAAUCCAUGGGCUCUCAUAACUGUAUUAGAAAGCCUCAAAUGGAUGCGAGGAAAGCCAAUGUCCAUGUAUCUCUCAAUCUUAGACAUCCUAAACUUGGUCGAUAAACUGGCCACUGGUGCUCCAUUAAAAUCCUCCCAAGUAAUAGCUCCAUCUGAAGUCUUCAUCUGUCUCAUCCUCUGCUCAAGUCUAUCCAUACGAGCAUAUGGGUCCUCUAAGAUCGGGGUAGGCACUAUGACAGGAGACAAGGCAACCUCAGUCUGACUUUAUAAAGUAAAUGAUAUAGGUUGUGAAACUAUCUGACCAAGUGGGAGAGGUGGCGGAAUAGUGGGAUCAUACUGCACACUCUCCUGAAAUGAAACCUUUUGGGUUUGCUACCCAUCCAUCAUUUGAUCAAGACUAGUUAUGGCCUCCUGGAUCGAAGCCAUAGCAGCAACGAACUUAUCAAAUGUAACCACCUACGAAUCCAUAUCUGCCUGAUCUAACUGGUCUGACACUCUGAUCAAUCUACCUUUAACUAUGAUCUAAGAAGCUGAACCCAGAUCAAACGUAUCAAUACACCUACAAUAGUGGAAAUAUUAGAUAAGAUAUUGUGUAAGGGAAACUCUACAAGGAGUGUCUAUCAACUAUGCAAGAAGGUAACCUGGAAGUAUUCAAAGUGAUAUCUAAUUCUGAGCAAAUAUAUAAGAGACUACUAUGAAGGUAACUAAAUUUAUCACUACUGACCCGGCUCUGAAGGCCCAUAGAUGCACCCAUGUGUGGGAAAGGAAAUUCUGAUCGAAUAAUCUAAGGCUCAACCUAUAAGGUCAAGGUGGCUCUAAAAAAAAAAUGGACUUUAAAGGAUCCCUAGCAGAAGCGAUCAUACCCUUCGACGGUAUGCAACCCUCUGCACGCCUUUGAAAAGACGAGGCACUUCCAUGCAAGGUGGUCAUCACCUCUACACAUGCACUACCUCGACAUCCUAAGGGGGUUUGCUAUAGUGAAAGCUCUCAUAACUCUCAGCACUCAAUAGUCAACUAAAGUGCAUAGUGAGUGGUGCAGGUGCAUCCGAAAAACCUAUGAAGCUAAAGUAGAAAAAAAACACAUUAGUCACACAAAUAUCCAUGAAACCUAGCUUUAGGCUAUUCAGGUCUUCAAAGAUCGGACUCCAAUCAACAUCAAUGUGUCAGCCUCCUCAAGAAUGCUCCUAAACAUCAAUAUAGCCCAUCGCUAGACCUUACUCCUAACCACUAGCUCGGUCAUAGAAACAAGUACACACAAGGCCUCACACUUGCAAAUAUAAGAACCGAAAUGAAGGAAAUGACCGAAACCAAAGGGUUGGAGGUAAGGGGAUAGAUGUGCGAUCCACACGGACAAACAACAUACAAUCACAUAGGAGAAGAUUAGUUAUGCAACAAGAAGUCAAGCAGAGCGCAAGUAUAUCAUCCAUGUCCAUACACAAGCCAAACGAAAAUAUGACAAUCAAAAUGACUAGCAACAAGGAUAGCAUGCUCAAAUAUAAUCAAGAUAACAUACAAGCAAGAUAAUCAACACUAAGACAAAUAAGAGAUGCAGCAAAGUGAACAUACAUGUCAAAGUGAGUAGGAUAAUCAAGGCAAGAGCAAGAUCGAUCAAUAUCAUCAGCAUGCCAAUGUCGCAAAGGGAUAUAACAAUUAAGCAUAGAAAAUCGUUGCAUCAAAAUCCUCAAUGUGCUAUGAUCACUCAAGCAUUGAAAAUUGUAAUUUUGAAAAAUUAUUUGAAAAUUGGAGUUUUGAAAAUUAAAUUUAAAAAUUAGAAUUUUGGAAAAUUAAAUUUAAGAAUUGGAAUUUUGGAAAUUAAAUUUGAAAGAAAUUGGAGUUUUGAAAAUUAAUUGAGAAUUGGAGUUUUGAAAGUUAGUUUUAAGAAUUGGAGUUUUGAAAAUUAAUUUUGAAAGAAAUUGGGGUUUUGAAAAUUAAUUGAAAAUCGGAGUUUUAAAAAUUAAAUUUAAGAAUUGGAGUUUUGAAAAUUAAUUUUGAAAGAAAUUGGAGUUUUGAAAAUUAAUUGAGAAUUGGAGUUUUGAAAAUUAGUUUUAAGAAUUAGAGUUUUGGAAAUUAAAUUUAAGAAUUUGAAUUUUGGAAAUUAUUUGAAAAUGGAAGUUUUAAAAAUUAAAUUUGAAAAUUAGAAUUUCAAAAAAUUAUUUGAAAAUUACAUUUAAGAAUUGGAAUUUUUUUAAAACAGAAGUUUUGAAAAUUAAAUAUGAAAAUCGGAAUUUCGAAAAAUUAUUUGAGAAUGGAAUUUUUAAAAGAUCAAUUUUUUUAACAUAAAAAGAUGGAUUAGGAGGGUGACAUGUGGCCUAGGAAGUUGUAUUGGAAGGUGGCCAUGCAUGGCCAAACACUUCAACGUAUAUUUUACAUACAAUAUCAAAUUCAAAUUAAGCUUGCGAGACCCUCAUUCCAAAUUUCAUUUCUCCAUGUGUUCAUCCUUAUUCUCAACUUUAUUUGUUAUCUCAAAUAUAGUAGCAGCAAACCCAUUUUCCAUCAACCCACUCCAUGUGAAAUACAGUAACAACAAACCUAUUUUCCAUCAACCUAGUCCAUGUGAAAUACAUACAGUAGAAAAAAACCUAUUUUCCAUCAACCCACUCCAUGUGAAAUAUAGUAGCAAAAAACCUAUUUUCCAUCAACCCACUCCAUGUGGGGCCUUAGGUCCAAGUGAAUGAACUCAUUUUCCAUGAAUCAAACUAUUUUUUGUAGCACUAGUAACUAUUAAAAAAAAGUCCAAUCGUGCAUGGGGGCCACCAGGAUGGAGAGCCAUUUCAGUGCCUGCAAGGUUUUGAACCUACUAUGCUUAAGGAUUGGCAAUGGGAAGACAAUUCAAAUUGGUGUAUGAGUAUAAUGGAUGUGAUGAAUGGGAAUAUGAGUGAUGGAGCAUGCACCUAGGGAAAGUUAUUAAUGGCGGGUAUGAAAUAUGGGAAUAUGUGUGGUGGAGCAAAUAAGGAGUGGAGAAUGAAACCUGGUAGUGUUGAGGAACUGGACCUGAGUAGUGUCGGGUAGAAAAUAUGGAGCUGGGUUGGGUAAAACUGAAGAAUGUUAGGCUUGGGAUUUGGGUCUAAUAGAUAGGCUUUGAUAGAGGUUUUGCAAAGGUGGCCAUACAGGAGUUAUUCACAUGCUUAUGAAUGGUGGGGGAAGAAAACUCAGACCAGAUUUGAAAAUAAGAACAUAAAUAUGAUCUCCAAUGCAUAAAAUAGCUUAAAUUAAAUCAAAUUAUUCCCAAGCCAAAAGCCAAAGUAUAAAUAAAUAAACCAACAACAGCACACCUAUGAAUGGCUCAGAAAUCCAAUAAAUUCAAACACAUUACCUAAUGUUCAUGCUUAGCAAACAAUCCACAAAAAAGAAAAUAACAAAAAGGAAGAAGAGCAUAUUAUGGUGAAGCAGAAUCAAACCUAAGCAAGUCCUCUCACUCUUUCUGUUUUUCUCUCUUAGAUACCGACUCUCUGUUUUUUCUUUUUUUCACUCAAGCUCUCUUCCUCAAGCUCCGUUUUCAGCUUGUUUUUCUUCCCCUUCCAACUUUAAAAAAAACCUCUCCUUGCUCCUCUUUCUUCCUCCCAACGGCCACCUCUUGCUCUUGCUAAAAAAACCUCAUUUUCCAAAAUAUUUAAAAAUAAAAAAUAAAACAAUUAUUAAUAUAAGUUGACAAACUAAAAUUGUUCCAAAAUGACUCUCCUCUACACAUAUCUAUAUUAUUUUAAAAUUUGUUAUUAAGCAAAUAGAUUUAAAAUCAAGCAAGACUUAAAAUGUUGAAUUUAUUAAUGAAUUUAAUUGUUUUUAAAAUAAUUUGAAACUUGAAAAUAGAUAAAAUCACUACCAAAAAUAAUAGAUCAAAACUAGUAUAUAAUGAGUCAUAGCUUUAUUGCUUUUUCUAUGUACACAACUAUAUUUUACGAGUUUUAUCACUAAGUAAAUAGAUUUUAAAUUAUGUGAGACUUAAAACUUUAAAUUCUUUAAUGAACCUUCUAAAUUUUAAGGAUAAUUUGAAAUUUAAAAAUUUGAUCAAAUUAAUUAUAGACUAAAUCAAAACUUGUCCAAAAUAGGUCCAAACUAAAAUACUAAAUAUGUACAUGCAACGGUUUUAAAUAGAAUAUUAUUAACCAUUAUUAUUUUUUAAUUAUUAUUAUUUUUAAAUAAAAAUUAUUAUGCUUUUAUGAAGGUAUUAAUCUCUAUAUUUUUAUAAUAUAUAAUAAAAUAGUAUUAGUUUUUUUAAUAAACAAAAUAUAAUUUAUGAUCUUAAUAUUAGUUUUCAUAUUUUACGAAAAAAAUAUUUAUUUUAAAAUUUUAUUUGUAAUUAAAAAAUUAUUUUUAUUUUUAAUAAGACUUGAAUUAACUUGAAUUAAUAUUAUAAUUGAAUUUAUAAUUUUUUUUCUAAAAUCAAAACAUAAAAACUAUUUAUAAAAACAACUUAUUUAGAUAAGGUUUUUUUUAUUUCUUUGAAAAGUGUUUUUAAAAGAUAACUUGCCAAAUAGUCUUGUCUUUCGAAAAUAUACAAAAUAAAAUAAAAUAAAUUAUUUUUGUUCUUUAACUUAAAAACUGUUUUUAAAAACAAGUAUAAGCAAACAUUAUCAAAGUGAGCCGUUAGUUUUUAGCAAUUAGUUAUUUUUGACAAAGUUUAGUGUUUUCACAUUCAGAAAGUUUAAAGUAAUUUGUUUUCAUUUUAGUUUAAUAUUCUCAUUAGCUUUUUUUUUUUUUUUUUUUUUUUUUUUUACCUUAGAAUUUCUCCAAUUUUAUGCUUAGUAGGUAAAUAGAUUUUGCAGGUAGACUUCAAUGAAUUAAUCAAGCAAUUCAACCUAUGGUAGAAGACAAUUAAGGUCAAAACAACAAUAACAAUCGACCUAUGAUGUCUUUCCAUGAAUACAGAUCAAUGGGAGAGCAUUUGAACCCUCCUCGUCUUAGUACACCUUCAUGCUUCAUCAUGUCGUAGGAUCAUGUGACCAUCAAGCCUCAAUUGGUGCCUUUACUCUUGAUCUUCAAAGACAAUGGAAAUGAAAACCCUCACACCAAUAUCAAGGAUGUCAAAGAAAUUUGCUUCACCUUUCAAGAAGCAAACAUGCCUCUAGACGCGUUAAUAAGAAUAAAGCUUUUUCCACUUACGUUGAUAGAUCAAGCAAAAACAUGGUUGAACACCCUUGGACCACAAGGCAUUGGGACCUAGAAUAGGUUGCAAUUGAUCUUCCUUAAAAUUUCUUCCUACCACACAAGACUAAUGCAUUGAAAAGGGAAAUGUCAAAUUUUACAACCUGGGAAAACAAUAAAUUUUUCUCAUGUUAAGAGCACUUUAAAUGGAUUUUAAAAGCAUGCCCACAUCAUGUCUUUGAUAAUUACAAGUUGAUUUUCAAAGCAAUGUUAGAGACGAUGUGUGGAGGAAAUUUCAUAAGAGUCUAGAUAAAGCUCCUUCAAUUUCUAGAUUAUGUGGUUGAAGCAACAAAGAGUUAGAUAGAUCAUGUGAUUAAUGAAUCACAAAGAAAGCAAAGUUCCAAAAAAAUUGAAAGUUUGUGAUAUCUUCAACUUGUUUGAAAGCAUGGAUUUUCAAUUAAAUAUUUCUACCUUAACUAGGAGAUUAGAAGACUUGGAGACCAAAGGAGUCUAAGAGGUCAAAGCAAUGAAUAAGUUAAGAGUGAUGAGAUGUUUGAUAUGCUAGUUAAAGGAGCACGAGAUUACAAGUUGUCCAACACUUCUAGUAGUGAGGCACAUGUUCUCAAAGUUGGCCAACACUUUUGAUUCAUUCAAAUAGAAUAGUAAAACUCUCCAUUCUCCAACACCUAUAAUCUAGUUUAGAUUAAUCAUCUUAACUUAUCUUGGAGAUGGAGUAGUCAAUUUCGUUAGCAAAAUCAUCCUAUGAACCAACAUUCAAAAUGCUUAAUAUCCCUAAUUAAUGAAAGUAAAUUACACACAAUAGAUAAGUUGUGAUUACUCAAUAUAAGGUUGGGUGAUAGUUGUAUUUUCCAACACAAAAUGAUGUAAUUGCAAUAACAAUUUAUGGUCGACAAUGGCCACACAAGCCCCAAGUAAAGGCUUCCCACCUUUGCAUUCAUCAUUCCCAACAUUAGGAAUUCUAAUUGCAUCUAUGCUUGAUAGGUACUCUAUGCAAAACUCUAAAGCUUCCUUUGUAUCAUGGCAUUCAACAAAACAUCCCUCUCAGCAAUUAUGAUUUUGUACAUAACCCUUUAAUACCUUCAUAACCUUUCAAAAGAAUACAUCCAUCUAAGGUAAACUGGCCUACAUGAUCUCAUUUUACUUGUCAAGUGCAUUAUUUAAUGAAGUAUAAUGUCAAAAAAUGAAGGUGGAAUUUUUUUUUCAAGUAAGCAUAAUAUCACCACCAACUCAUCUUAUAGUCUAUCCAAUUUAAACACAUAGACUACUUUGCUACAUGAGGCAUUGAAAAAUAAGCAUAAUCUAGAUAUAGUGUCUCACAUGCUUAAUUAGAAUAUAUUGUAAUUCUACUAGUAAUAUGUUGCAUGAGUGCAUGAUAAUCAUGGGAUUUAAGACCAUAAAGCUUCAACUUUUCCAUUGACACAAGUUUUAUGAAGUUAGAGGACUAUCCUUCAAGGACUUUCAAGUCAGCUAAGGUUUGAUAUACCACUUUUUUCUCUAUCCUAGAAAGUGUGUAGCAUGUAGGUGGGAGGCAAGUAUGAUUUAAGUCAAAUUUUCGUGCCAAUUCAAACCUUAUGCCCAUCUCUCCAUAAGAUCCAACCCAGAAUUGAGUUCAUCUUUUAUUUUUCCUGGAAUGUUAACCAAGGUGCCAAUGAUGCUUUCGCACACAUUUUUCUCAACCAAUAUUCUAAUUUGUAAUCGACAUACAAAUGUUACCAAUAUUCUAGAUCAAAGAAUAUGGGCAUCUUUUUCCAACAACUUAUAGUAUUCACACUAGAAGUACUUGCUUUAACCUUCUUUUUUUCCCCAUGAUUAAAAAUGGAAUCAACUUCUUCUAGUAUUUCCUCUCUAGUUAAUGGUUAUGGAGGUAGCCCAAACUCUUGCUAACCAUUGAAUGCCUUCUUUUGUUUCCUAUAAGGAUGGUUAUAUGGAAGAAACCAUUUAUAACCUAUAAACGAGUUUUUCUUCCCAUGUUUCGAUCUACAAGAAUAUGUUUCUUUCCCACAUAUUGGUAAGCAUAAUUUCCCUUAACAUGAACAACUCUCGUUAAUGUGCAUCAUAUACUUUGACUCUUACCUCCCAAAGAGUUUUAAGAGCUUCCACCAACAGUGCCAAGUAAACAUCUAUGUAAUUUCUAGGUUAUCAUGGAUUUGAUAUCAAUAAUGAUAACAUCAUAAAUUUCUAUUUCAUGCACAACCAUGGUGGAAGGUUACAUGUGAUCAUUAUAUAUAAUUGACUAAAUACUAUGACAACUACUAAGAGAAUUGUGAGGAUUUAUGCCAUCUAUUAAAAUAGCAAGUCUAAGUUUUCUAGUCUCAGAAACAAACCUGGGCCAUAAAUGGUCAACUAGCUUCCAUGAUGAAGAAUCAAAUGAGUAAUGCAAAUUCCCAUCAAAUUUUAUUUCUUGGGCAUGCCAUGUGAGAUUUUUUUUACUAUUUGUGAGGAUUGGAAUGUUUUUUUAAACCUUGAGAUAGGUGGUAAAUACCACAAGACUUUUGCAGGAACACUUAUUCUCCUUUUGUUUCCUUUUUUAUUUACCUUCUACCUUGAUGUUCCAAAAGUACGACAUAAUGAUACAUUUUUAUGCUUAUUUCUGUAAAGGAUACAAUCAUUAGUGCAAACAUGUAUUUUUUCAUAUUCCAUUCUCAAUGCUAAGGUUUUUUUUUUUUUUUUUUUUGCUUCAUACAUGCAUUUCAUUGUUGAUUGGGAGUGAUACACUCUAAAAAACUUUUGUCAAACCACACAUAUCUUACUAUCAAGUUAUACAAUUUUACCAAUGCAGAUAACUUUAUAAACUUUGAACAAGCAGGAUAUAAAGGUUUUUUAUCAUCUUCAAGUAUUCUUUUAAAUGAUUAGGGAUCCUUCAUAUGAUCAUCUUGUGCAGCAUAGACCAUCUAAAUGGUAUUGUCUAAAUCAUCACAAUUAAGUUGAUCAUAAUGAUAUCCUUCAUAGUUGUUGCUUCCUUACUAAGAACUACCUCUCCAUGCUAAUAUCGUGUGCAGUAACUUUGAUUAAUUCCAUUGAAAUAUAAGUGUUCUCUAAUCACUUGAGGAGUAUGGUUCAUUAAGUUGCUACAAUGUAGGCAUGGACAUAUAAUAUAGUUCAAAUCUCUAGCAUUUAGACUUAUAAAUUGAAUAAAGCUUUCAACCCCUUCUUCAUACUUUUGUGAUCUUCUAUCCUUAAACUACAUCCAAGAUCAAUCCAUUUUUGGGUUGAUUCAACUAAAUUCCUAUAUAACACAAGUUGCAUGAUUUAUUAAUUAUUAAUUCCUAAACCAAACAAGGAUAUAAAUUGAGCUAUACAACUAAUAAAUAAAGUAUUAAAAAACAAAAUGGCAUCAUAAUUGUACCUAUAUUAUAGCACAUGCAACCACCUACAUAUGUUCAAUCUUAAACACUUUAUGUUACUUCAUUCAAAAUAAAUUAAAUAAAUGCAUAACUUCAUUUAGUAGCAUGCAAUGAAUUAUCAAUAGAACAUAUGGGGAUAAUACCAUAACUAGUAUUAGUGAUAAAUCAUAUCCCAUGAUAAUCCAGUAUGCAAUAUAAAUACUAAAACAAGAUAGGAAGACUAAGAACUUAACUAAUUUAGCAUCAUACAACUAAAUCUAAAGUACCCAAUUUUAUUGUGUUCACUAAAAGAAAGAAACAGUAGAAUAUUAAUUUACUUUGCUAUUCUAUAUGAUCCAAGUAUAUAUAGUAUAUCAAAUCCUCAAGUAUGAACUCUCACUACAAGAAAUAAGUUUUUAUUACUUGGAUUCUCAAAAUUAAGAUACUAUUAAUGUAUAUAGAUUCCAUGAAAAUCCUUGUCUUCACAAGGUUGGAAUUUCUAUCCCAUCUAAGAAUUGUAUGUUUUUAAAAUAUUACACAAAGAAGCAAAAUUUAAAAUUGUCAUGAAAAUUUCAACAACAUUUCUAUACUAUUCUCGUAGAUGAGCCCAAAUUCUCAAUGAAAAUCCUUAAUGUUUUUUAAGUAACUUUGUAAAUUUGGAAUGGCUAAAUGUAGUUUCUAUAUUUUUAUCUACUAGAAGCCUUAAGUUAUAAAAUUGAACUAAUAAAUGGGUUAGGUCAUGAUUGGGAAGCUUGUUUUAGAUCUACCAUCUAUAUUAUUUUAUUUUAAUGGAGCCCAAACUAAAUAGGGAACCCAACCAUCUACCACAAUACCAUGUCAUUUUACUAAUAUGGCCUUUGUUUAUUGGUCAAAUUGGGUCCUAUUUGUUUGUACAAAUUGACACUAUAUGUGGAGUGCAGUGUUCAAUAGUUGGUGAUCCAUUUCAUGAUUUUAAAAAAAAGAAUUUGUUUGUUGAUAAAACAACAACCACCCACCACCCAUUCAACUAACAAGAUUUAAGAUUAUUGUUUCUUUCCUAUGGGUGAUAAUAAAAAUAAAAAAAAUUAAGCCCUAAUACAAUGAAAAUAGAAAAAAAGAUUGAAUAGUUUGAUUUUAAGAAACUAUUAAAGUUUUGAUGAGGUGGAUCGAUUUGUUCGAGUUGACACUAAGAAGGCUAUUUUAUUUUAUUAAACAAAAUGAUGAAAAUUACUAUUGGAAUUCACCAAUUAAUCAAUUCUUCAACUACCACAAUGAUUCCCAAACAAUAGACAAAUCCUAAGUCUAAAGGUACCAUUAUGUCAUCUAAAAAUCCAAAAUAUUUAUCCAAACCUAAACUCUAAAACCCAAUGUGUUUCAAACCUCAUCUUAGUAGGAUUUUUUUUAAACAUUAUUUAAAAAAAUUAAAAUUAAAGCAUUGUUGUUUAAAAAAUAAAUUAAAAAAUACAACACUUUUCAUCACUUGUUUUAUUUUUGCACUAAACUCGUAUUUGUUCAAGAGGCGAAAUGACUUUUUAUAUUGAAUUGAAAGACGAGUUCACUUUUCACCUUAAAUUUUUCUAUAUAGAACUUGCUUUUUCAAAAGAUAAGUUCACUUUUCCAAUGUUGAACUCGUCUUUUGAAAAAUACAAGUUCACUUGAAAUCUAAAAAUGUGAUAGUUUAAAAAAAAAAAAAAAUUGGUGGUACGACCUUUUAAAAAAGUACACUACUCUUGUAGAAAGCCCUAUCUCAAUACUCCUUUGACGACUACUAGACUCAAUAGAGUGUGACUUGGUAUAUCAUUUUACAUGCAAUGUUAGAUUUCUUUUUUUUUUUUCUUUUUUUUUUUUGGUUUUCAUAUUCUCAUAAACCAAAAAUGGAAACUAAUGAAUAAAAAUAAAAAUUAAAGAAAAAAAAAAGAAUUUAAAAUAUAUAUCAAGAAAGAAAGAUAUUCACCUAUUUCUUGCAACAUAAGUUCCUCUAAGUAAAAUGAUAAGGUUGCCACUAUGGUUUAAUCUCAGGAGGUUUAAGAGCACACAUCUUGGGGGAAGGUUUGAGAGCACAUCUUCAAUACAGGAAGGUUUGAGAGCACAUCUUUAAUAGGGGAAGGUUUGAGAGCACAUCUUCAAUAGGAGGAGGUUUGGGAACACAUCUUUGGUGGGAAAAUAAGAUUGAUAACUUCUUCUUUUUUAAAUAUAUACUACUAUUAAAAAUGUGAGGUGUUUGUCAAUUUUUUCAUUCCAAAAAUGUCUGACAACUUACCUUUUAAUUCUAAAAAUACUUCUCAACAAUUUAUUAAUAACAAUAUAUUAAUAUUUAAUGUUACAAAAUGUAUUCUAUUAUCAUAAUCUAUUAGUAUCAAAUGACAUUAUACAUUUUAUUCUCUUUAGAACCUAUAAUAUUCUUUGACUCUUGAUGAUGUGCCUAAGCCCCAUAUUUUCAAUGCCCGCAUAAGCCUUUUCUAUCAUUUUCUCCUCUCCAUGGUCACAACAGCUUCUUCUUCAAGCUUUUAGAUUUCUUUGCAAAAUUGCCAUCGUAACAUUCCUCUUCGCCACAAAUGGCAGUCAAUUCAAGACUAUGUAUAGAGUUAUGGUCAUGGUUCUGGAAGGUUUGGAUUGAUGAAAGUGUUAUGUUAGGGACAAGAGAGAGCUUCAAUGAAAUGUAAUGUUUUUGGGAAAGCUAAGAAUGGCAAUGGUGGCAAAGAAGGUGUUCCUGAAAAGAACAAACAGUUUGUGUGGUGGUUUCAGGAGGCGUGGUUGUAUUUUCACAUUCAUAGGGGUGACACGUUUGUUGUCAUAAUUUUUGGUGAAAUUGUUGUCAAUUCUUACUUGGAACCCAUACUGAAGGCACAUUUUCUAUGAAUUUCUUUUCCUUUGUUAAUUUAGUUUGGAUGAAUAAAUUGUUAUUGUGUUUCAUAAAAGCAAUAUGGAGGGUUGGUUUGGAUAGUGGUGAUACUCCACAUUCAGAUAUGUUUUCCUUUUGUAUUUUGGAAACUAACGAAUCAUAACAUGCUUAUUGGUGAAAGGAGAUUGUUGUUUAUUCCAUAUUUGUUUAAAGAGAAUGAAUUGUGUUUGUGGAGUUGACAAUUGAAGAUAUUGACUUCCAAAUAGUUUUAGAGAAUUGGUCAAAUAAAUCUCUGAUAAAUAUUUUUUUUAAUGAAUUUACAACUUAUCUAAGUAGUUUAUCGCAUUGAUGGUAUCUAUGUAUAUCAAUUAUUUGUGUUCUAAUUUAUUGUGAUUCUAUCUCUUGUGUUAUUAAUCAUUUGGGUUAUUGGAUUUUCAUGUUUUGGUUUUUAUCAUUUCCCAUAUUUUUAAUUCAUUGCAUUUUUGUUCAUUGUGAAUGUUAUUUAUUUAUUAUUUUAGCACUCAUUGGGUUUUUUGUGAACACAAUUAGGUCAACUAUUGUUGCCAUUAGUGUUUUUGAUGAUUUUGCUUACAUGUUUAUUAGAGAAAUAUUAGAAUUCAAGGUGUUUGGUACAUUUGAGAGGUAAUCCAAUUUAGUAUGAGAGUAUACCUUUUUUUUUUUAUGAAUCCUGAUUUUUUUUUAUUGGGAUCAAAAUUUGUUACUUACUCUAGAAAUUUAGUAUUUUUGUAAAUACUUUUAAUUUUUCUAAUUAUAUUUUUUUAUAAGUAUUUAUAACUUAAAGGUUUUACUAAAAAGAAAAUGAAGUUAGUAGUUUUAAAUUGAAAUUAGUCUUAUUUCUUAAGGUUUUUUUCCUUUUUCAUUUUUAGCUUAAUUGAAUCUAGAACUUUCUUGUCAAUUAUAAUUCUAAAAGGAGUUUUAGUUACAACCUAUUAAUAUUUAAUGUUACAAAAUGUAUUCAUCCAUUAAUAUCAAUCACAAAAUUUAUUAAUAUUUAAUGUUACCAAAAUCUAUUAAUUAUUCCCUUUAAAAUCACCCUAACAUUAUAAAACAUUAUAAUUAAUAUAUCAUCUAACCAACAAUUAAGAAUUACACCUUCACUCUUCAAAUUUCUUAUGAUGACAGUUUCACUUUUCAUUUCUAAAGUUUGAGAACUUUUUAAAUUUCUGAUAACCUUUUCCUCUUUGAAGAGAAUUAAGAAGUUUUUGUAAAUUGGCACUCCCAAUUUGAAUGAAGUACUAUUUGGUGAGUUAUUAUUUAGUGUUCCGAAUGAUUUUACUUAAAUGUUUGUGUUACUUAUGAGAAUAAUUUGAUUACUUUGUUGAAUUUUAUUUUUAUGAUUUUGAGCUUUUUAAAACAAUACUCAAUUCUUUGAGGAGUUUGUUGGAUGUGAGUUGGAAGAAAAUUGAAAUUUAAGGUAAUUGGUAAAUUUGAGAGGUAACUAAAUUUAGUAUUCAAGUAUACAUUUUUUUGUAAUGAAUUUUAAUUCUUUAUUUUAUAAUUCAAUGUUUAUUAGAAUUGAAGUUUGCUGCUUAUUAUAUAAAUUUAGUAUUUUUGUAAAUACUUUUAAUUUUUAUUAUUUUUAGACAAGUAUUCACAAGUUAAAUCUUUUAAUAAAAAAAAUAAAGUUAAUUGUUUCAAUUGAAAUUUGGGUAAAUGUUUCUAGAGUAUGUUUUUCUUCAUUUUUUGUCUUAUUGGAUCUUAAUUUUAGAAUAAUUAGAACUCUCUAAAAAAUAAAAUCUAUAUAUAUAUUUUUUUUAAUAUAAAUUACCAUUCUAGAGCUAAAUGAAUUUCCUUAUUUUAUAAUUCAAUGUCCAAUAAUAUGCAUAGGAAUUGGACAAUAUAGUUUUUUGUUUUAUAAUCCAAUAUCUAUAAUAAUUGGAAACUACAGUUCUUUAUUUUAUAAUCCAAUGUCUAUGGAAUUAGAGAUUCUUAUUUAUGCUAUAAAUUUAGUAUUUUUACACAUUCUUUUAAUUUGUCUUAUUUUGUUUCUUUUAAAUUUUAUCUUUAACCAAUAUUCACAACUUAAAUCUUAUAAUAGGAAGAGUAAAGUUCCUUAUUUUAAUUGAAAUUGAGGUAAGUGUUUUUCAAGAUUUUUUUUUUAUUUUUCAUUUUUAGUUUAGUUGGAUCUUCACUUUGGGAUAACUAGAAUUUUCUCAUAAUUUUUGUUUGUUUUUUUUUUAUAUAAAUACCAACCACUAUUCUAAAAUGAAUUAAAAAUAACCACAUUUAAAAAUUUGAGAAUGAAAUAUCAAGUAUAUUUGAGAGAUCAAAAACAAUUUUUAUUCUUACUAAGAUAUUUAUCUUUUUAUUUGCUCAUGGUUCUUGUUAUUAUGACUUUGUAUUACAUUCUAGAAACAUAUAGUUUUUCCUUGUGUAAAUAAAUUGAUAAAAUUAAAGGAAAUUGACAAGGAAAGCAUAAAAAUAAAAAGUAUGUUUGAAUAAAUAAUUGAAUUCUUUUUUUUAAUAUUCAUCUACUUUUCAUAAAAUUAGGACAAGUAAAAGUUACAUUUUGUUGUCCCUAAAUUGCAAUGAAUUUAAAUUAACAAUAGAUAACGGGUUUAAAUAAAAUUUGGUACAUAUCAUUGCUAAGGUGACAUUUAUUUUGCUUAACUUAGAAAAAUUGAUUUUAAAAAGAAUUUUACCAUCUAAGAUUUUUGGAAUGGAAAAAUGUAACAUUAUUUAUAUUUCAUCUUAGACCUUUUUUCUUUCCAUUUAUAUUUCAACCCAAUCAUUUUUUUUCCUUUUUUUUUUAUGUCUAGUUUGAUCAUUUGACUUUGAAUCUCUUCUUAGUUUCAUACAAGGAUUUUAAAAGAAUAAAUUAACAUAUUUAAUUUUUUUUAUUGGAUUUGUUUUCAUAUUACCUCACCUGCAUAUAUAUAUAUAUAUAUAUAUAUGUAUGUAUGUAUGGAAGAGUAAGAUGACUUUUUCAAAGAAUCAUUUUUAUAAAAAUGACUAUUUAGAAGAGUUAAGGAGCAAGUCUUUGAGGGGAAAUAAAAUCAAUAGCAAAAGAAUAGGAUGACGUUUUGAAAGAAUCAUUUUUAUAAAGAUGACUAUUUAAAAGAGUUAUGGUCUCUUUCAUAAUUAGAUAUUUAAUUUGAGAACGAGUGGGAAAAUAAAGUUAAUAGUAAUUUGCUUUUUAAUAUUUACAUAUAAGGGGAAGGAUAGGAUGAAUUUUCAUCAAAGAAUCAUCUUCAUGAAAUAGAUAUUUAAAUUGCAGUCAUUACUUAUCAUAUUAAUUAAAGAUAAUGAAAAUUUUUAAAAAAAAGUCAUCGAAACAACCGUCAUUAUCUCCUUUUUUGUAGUGACUUUGGAUAUAGUAUUAGAUACAUGAUUAACAAAUCAAAGGAUUGAGUGCAAUUAAUUACAAUAGAUUUUUUUGUAGGUAUUAGAAUGUUGAUAGAGGCUGGACAAAAAGGAGGUAACUAGGAUUAAGGCCUAAUGGAGUAUUCCACAAUGAAGGCCAAGAACAGGGAAGAAAUGAGUCAACUGCAAAGCAUCCUCCUACCAGGGUCUAACUUUGUGAUUUUCCACUGUAUCAUAUCAGGGUGAUCUGAACAAAUAACCUUGUUCUUAACAAUUAGUCAUCCAUGGCUUGGUAGUCUUUUCCCUAAAACCUCUUCAUAUUAGCUCGUAACCGAUUCAAAAUUCACGAAAUUCAUAUAAUCGUUCAAUGAAUUCCCCGAAUCAAGUUCAAGGUAGUCUUUGGUUUUUCUGAAAAUAUGACUAAUCUACUUCAGUACAAACUGUAGAAGUUACAGAAGAAACAAGCCAUGCAUAAAGCACACACACCCUUCUUCCAAAUUAACAAGCCAUGCAAAAAUCAAAUUCCCAUACAUCAAUAUUAUUUUACAUGUCUUUUUAACAGACUGAAUUCAUUAAGACAGAAGAGUACAUAACUCAGAGGUGAAUCCUACACAGCCACUUCUACAGAACCCCAAAGAUGUAAAAGCUCAGGAACAGACACCCAAGCACAAAUGCAGAGGUUGAAAGCCCUGAGGAACUGGGUAGCACCAAAUAAAUGCCAGAAGUAAAUGCUAUCACCAUUCCUAGGAUGGAAACGUAUGUGAGUAUGGCUGAAAAUUUUAUGAAACCUAGAAGCAGAUGAUAGUUUCGUUCC